Molecule: long non-coding RNA, 83372 nt
Filed under: Triticum aestivum (bread wheat)
Lineage: Eukaryota; Viridiplantae; Streptophyta; Magnoliopsida; Poales; Poaceae
Description: long non-coding RNA (TAES_LNC023814)
Source: RNAcentral
AAACAAAAGGGGGGUCGCCUAUAUAUAUACGAGAAAAUAACAUAAAAUUUGAUAUUAACCGGUCAACUUGCAUCACUACAGACACAGAUUCGGUGCACUACCAACACAGCCAGACGGCAACACCAACACAGCCAGACGGCAACACCGACAUAUAGUGUCACACUGCAUAUAGACACGACAAAGAUAGAAAAGAAAACAUAAAAUCCGGGUCAAAUUACAAAGGUGAGCUCCCUCCAAGACUGGAAUUAAUAGUACAUGAGCUGCUGCUGCUGCUGCUGUGAGGCACCGACGUUCUGGAAAGUACCAUCGUACAUUGCCUGACUCGCACCUACACCCAUCCCCAUGGCUGCUUGCCUGAGAUGCUGAGCCUGCAUCAAUGCCUGGGUCGAAGCCAUCUUGCUCAUCGCAAUAGCACGUUGAUACGCCAUGAGGUCGGCGGCAGCAGGGUGGCCAGGAGCAGCAGGAGGGGGCAGAGGCGCAGAGGUGGUACCAGGGGGUGUAGGUUUGUUGCCCCAGGAACACUGCAAAACAAGAGAAAAGACCGACGUGCAGCUCCAAUCAGGACAUCAGUCAGAAAAUACUAGCGAAGAAAGGGCGGUUAAGAUGAAACAUCGGCAAAAUCGUUAAGCAGGAAAGGAGCUGCUAACCUUGACUGGUUUACCACCCAAAAUACGACCAUUACCCGUCUGAAUUGCAAGGGCAGUUUCGGCAUGGUUGCUGUACUUGACAAAACCAAAGCCUUUGCCGUGCUGGACACGGACCUCCUCGAUGGCUCCAGCACCAAGUGCAUGGAAGAAACGAUGAAGCACGUCUUGAGUAACCUGGUAUUAAGAACAUCAUGAAAUCAUUAAGGCGGCAAUUGGGACAGAUGUGAUAAUUCAUCAUACAUUUUGAAUAAAUUCAUUAUACCACAUGCAAAGUACAACAGAGUUUAUAGUCUACAUGAGCCAUGCAAGUGAAUGACAAAGCAUAAGAGAAGCAUCCAUAGAAGCAUGCUUGAAGAGCAUUACCUCGUGAGCAAGGUUCCCAACAUAAACAGUUCUGUACAGUGGAUUAUUUUCAGGAGCAUCUUCAUUUGAUUUCUGCUUUGCAUUUUCUGGACAAGACAAAUAGUAGACACCACAAAUCUCAGGAUAAGGAUAAUAAUGUAAACACGUUGAUGACAUAUGAAGAACUGCAAUACUUAAGUUCCUAGCAGUCAAAGCCCAAGAACAUCAUGUAAACAUAAAGCAUCGCAACAAAAACAGAUAUCACAUAAACCAAAUAAAUACAAUCAAACAGCCUAGAAUCACAUACCCAUUGAAAUAUUCUGGUCAAACCAGCUAAUUACUGCUAAAUUUAGAAAAAUGCAGCUUUAAGUGGGUAUGCUUUACUAAUCAAACUCCAGCAUCAACAUGAACCAAUAAAACCUUUAUGAAAAGUAUUGUUAACUAAAAGAUUAUUUGACAAUGAUAAUAGCACAUACCGAAGAACUAAUGUUCUACCUAACCCAUCUUUUGAAACCAACAUCUUAGCAAAUUAAUAAUCUAAAUAGUAGUACAAAAUACAACAGAUCUAUAGGAUUAUACCUGUGAAAUUGUUAUUUACAUCAGCUAUACUUUUCGAAUCAGAUGUUAGCUGGUCCUCGCCACUGUUGGCACCUUUUGUUGCCCAGUUGCAACGAAUCUGCCGAUUCCCAAGCCAUUGACCUAGAAAGGUUAAUUUUUUAAUUUUGUCAUCACCGGUACUUUAAAACUAAGAAGCUGGCACUCACAAUGUCAUUUACAUAACCGUUUCAAUCGUGGAAAAUAUCAAAUGCAUAGGCCUAUAUAUAGGCAAAACAAAUCGAAAUCCUCACUGCACAUAAAACAGGUCUGAACAAGAAAAGUUUUGAGGGCAUACCAUUUAAGUCAUUUAUGGCACUCUGUGCAUCCUGCAGACCAAAUAAAUCAAUUUCAGCAAAAACCCGGAACGGACAAAGCACAGAUUAAGAUGGUUGGGACUGAGAAUCAGCACACCUGUUGAUUCCUGAAGGAAACAAAGCCAUAACCUCUUGAUCUUCCCGUCUUUUGGUCCCACAUUACUCGAGCAUCACUAGAUAACACAAAUCACACCAUUUUAAAAUGAUUCAACACUAGGCAACACAAGCACCACUGCCAAUCGACAAAUAUUAGGUAUAACAGCACCAUUACAAGAUUAUAGUUCAGGAAAGCACAAAUUCUCUAACUAAGCCCAAUAGCAAAAGAAAGUAAUGAAUAUAAGGAAGCACAAAAUGCUUACGAGCAGUUGGGAGAAUAUGCUGAGAAGAAUGCAAAUAAUGCAGAAUCCGUGACCUCAGGGCUAAGAUCACCAACAAAUAUAUGGAAAUGGUCUGUAAAAUGAAUAAGGAUUAACAUAACUGGUCAAAAGCUACCGCACAAGAUGCUAGAAUAGUGAUUCACAAGAAACAGUAGUACUAACCUGUUGUAUCCUCCCUCUGACCACUAGCAUAUGCCCAAUUAACUCUGAUAGGCUGCCCAAAACUGCAAUAACGUUCUUCAGUAAGGUAUAGUAUUGGAAACAAGUGACAAAACUAAGUUUCAGAAGAAUAGAACUAGUAGCUGCUCCUAGCUAUUCUUUUUUCUUACAUUUGCUUCCUGUUAAGUGUCAAAAUUGCUAGGGCAGCUGAUCCGCGUUCGUAGUAGUCAACAAAACCAUACGAGGACUGCAGAAAAGAUAUAGUCAAAAGGUCAAUUUUGCCAUCCUCUAAACUUGAAUCAUAUAUUUGUAUUCACCUUCUAAAAGCAAACAUAACUGCACCCAAAAAAAGGAAAACAGAAUGAAAACUACCUUCUCUUUUCUUAUAAGCUUGCAUCCGUCAACUGAACCAGCACUCUGGAAAACCUCCCGGAGAAGUGCCUCGGUCACUUGAACAUGAAUAUUGCCGACAUAUCUAAAAUUUAUAGAAACUUGGCAAAUCAAAAAACAGUGUAAACAGUGCUUGUAAUUAAGUAUUUGCCAGACAAAAAUAGACGAUAUCCAUGCAAGAGCAUCAAAGUGAAACUAGGUACUCCCUCCGAUCCAAAAUAAGUGUCGCAGUUUUGAACUAAGGUUAGUUCAACAUUAGUUCAAAACUGUGACACUUAUUUUGGAUCGGAGGGAGUAUUAAAUCUACAAGUGUGCGUGCAAAAGGAAGUAAAAGUUCAAAAUGUGAUAUUCAAUUCAAAGCAUGCAAACAAAAAAAUAAAGAAAAAAAACACUAAUGGGACUCACACACUGCGGCAUGUACUUGUAUCAAAACCAGGUGGCAGAUUUCCAGUAAGAAUUGGCUCUAUCUGCAAAAAUAAAAAUGUAAAAACAUUGAAAGAAAGAAAAGAAAAAUAUAUUGAUAAGAAGAAUGUAAGGAGAAGAAGUCAAAUGUGUGCAACCUAUAGAGCACAGCACACCCUAUAGGAUAUCACCAGGAAGUUCCAAUAUGUUAAGUGCACAUCAAAAAUAAAAGACUCUACAUGCUUUGCGAUGAAAACCUAAUCGGUCAGGAAAAAGUGUAUGUGUAAAUGCAAAGUAUUGGAAAUCGUCAUGUGUAAUAACAAUGUAAGCAUUUUACAUCAGGUGCAUGACAAGGCAAGUGCAAAAACUCAUGAUUUGAGUGAAAGAGACUUAAAAACUAACCCACGAUGUCAAAUCACUGGGUAAAAAAUUAUACAACAGAGCGGCAAGGUAAACGCGAUUCCCAGCUAGAUUUGGCUGAAUAAAAUUUAAUCAAUCAGCCAAAAUGUCCAGAACACUAUAAUUUGAAGCAUUAGCAGUCUUCCACCAAAUAAGCAUCACAAGCAAACCACUAACUAAACAUCAAAGUUUGAAUACUAGCACUCCAGACCAAUAAGUCCUCAAUCCCGUUGAGAAAGUUAACCAAACAAGCUGAAAUCAUCCUAUUAGUUUUACAAAGUGAAACAAAUGAGAAAUCGUAGCACCGGACACUUACCAAUUACUCGCUAAUCGUUCACUACAACAUAUAACAUAUAAAAACGUCCAUAUGACCUGGAGACUGUUCCCUCACUUAACUGAACAUCAAAAUCUAAAAUCGCCACGGAUUUGAACACUAAGCGCCUUAAGAUCACUCACUCUGCUCCUUUUACCCGAAACGAAACAGAAUGAACUUGAUCAUUCACAGUCAGUCAGAAAUACUGCUGUCCUCAGUUUCUACCUCGGCGCCGACAGAAUCCAGUCCACCCGGACUUCGGAGACACACAGAACAGCAGAAUUCCGCGAACCCUCGGGCUCGAUAAACAACCGCUCCAUUUACCAUACACCGCCGCAGACUAGAAGCGCCUCCGAAACCACCAAGACAAAGCGGAAACAGGGGACAGACCCAAAUGCCUACAGCCCUCCCCGAUGUUCGCACACUAAGCUCAUCCAAAGUUAGCCCUAUGGCAUACCAAACUUCCGCGGCGCGCUGCCGUGCGGGCGGGCGCGGCGGGGGAGUGGGUGGGUGAGUGGUAACGUACGGACCUGCUGCGGCGGCGCGGCGCCGAGGAGGUGGUGGUGGUGCGGCGGCGGCGGCAUCGCGUACAUGGACUGCAUCGCGGCCGCCUGCUGCAUCAUCGCCGCGGCCUGGCUCUGCUGCGGCAGCAUCGCGCAGCCCGGCCCGCUGCCCGGUCCGGCGACGGUAGAUUGGUGGGGUGAGAGAGGGGAUGGAAGGGUCGAGAAGGUCGGGGUGGAGGAGAGAGAGAGAGAAAGAGAGAUGAAGGGGAGUAAAGGGUAGAGUUUGCUUGUUUUGCUUCGUGUCUUGGGUCAGCCCCUGGAUACGUGGGCCUGGAAUCUCGCUCACUUGUUUUCGGUUUGGAGAGAGAAUCGUCCCGGCGACCCACCGGCGACCCCUGUUUUUGUUUUCUUUUUCUUGACGCGAACUUAGGAUCUUUAUCCAGUGUUAAUCCUGCCUAAAAAAACCAGUGUUGAUCUCUACUCUUUACUUUUUACUUCCUCCGUUUCUAAAUAUAAGAGAUUUUAAUAUGAACUACAUACGAAGCACAAUGAGUAACCUAUACUCUAAAAUAUGUCUAUAUACAUUUAUAUGUAGUCCGUAUUGAAAUAUCUAAAAGAACUUAUAUUUAGAAACGGAGAGAGCAUUAAUUUAUAUAUUAAAAAAUACUUACUUUAAAGACAUAUGGUUCACUCAUCCAACUUUACAUACUUUCCUCCCUUCACUGCUUUUACCUAAAAAUCGUCUGAAUUAUAUCACCAUCAAUUAUUGACUUACUUUGUAAGUACCUGUAUGUUGCAAUGGGUAUAUUUUUAAGAUAGCUCCAAAAAAUACAAUCAUACUUUACGAAAAUCAGAUAGCCUUCGAUCUUGCAAGACCUAGCAAAAGUCUAGUUCUCCGGUGCAUCGGUGUUACAUUAAGUGCUUCGCAUUACACAAAAUUAAUACACCCGCAUGAUCCAUAACACUAGCACAACUGCAUAACGGCGACAAUUUGACUAUCUAACUACAUUCACCUCCAGUGAACCUUCUGCGUUGCUCGGAACCAUGUUUCAACUGUGCUCGUGGUUGAUCACUGCAUUUCAAUGCUAGUAAGAAACAAUUGGACAAUCCUAAAAUAUUAAUGAAGCAGCGGCUAGUCCUUUGUAAUUUUUUAUUGUAUAUAAUGCCUCGCCCUUUCAACAUCUUAUUUUUAUCUGAGUCUACCAUGACACCAUCCUUUAUAAUCUGCAUGCCAUGAGUGCUAUCAUGUCUUCUUCUCGCCAUGUGUUGCCAAACCUGCAAAGGAUACAUAUUAGGUUCUCUCUCUUUCACAAUGCGUGUGUUGUCUGAACCUGGUGUGUAAAUACAACAUUGUCAUGUUUCUUGCAUGUACCUACUAUAGAUAAGUUCAUGGCAACAGAUUAUAAAAAGGUUGAAGAAUCCACAAUAGAACACAAAUAGGUGCAACAACUGACGGUCGGGGAGGACUAGUUCGUCUCCUUCAAUCAUCUCUGAAAGAACAUGCGGUGCCCCAUGUUUGGUUUUGGUAAUUGAUGACAAUCUCUAUGGACUAAUGGUUGCCUUGAGCUAUAUUUGAAGGGUUUGUCCAUAGGUUUUUCUUGAAGUUCAUUUGUUGGUUUCAAGGAUAGUAUGUGAUGACCAAUGUGCUGUUCAAGGAAUUAUCGAAAGAUUGGUCAUGUGAGAGGUUGAUCAAGACUAAGUCAAAGAGUGGAUCAAGUUGAUCAACACAUAAAGCGUACAGAGAUGUACCAAGAGGGAUCAAGUGAUCCCAUGGUAUGGUAAGCAUUGUCCAUUACGCUUUGUAUACUAACCCAUGAUCUACAUGAGAGUUUUAUAUGGGGUUAGGUAUGUUUCAAUGGGUUUGCAUCAAGAGGAAGAUCUCAUACAACCCAUGGAGGAUGACAUUGAUACGUUUCCAACGUAUCUAUAAUUUUUUAUUGUUCCAUGCUAUUAUAUUAUCAAUCCUGGAUGUUUUAUAUACACUUACAAGCAAUUAUAUAUCCUUUUUGGACUAACCUAUAACUUAUUGCCCAGUGCCAGUUGUUAUUUUUUUGCUUGUUUUUGGCGUCGCAGAGUAUUAGUACCAAACGAAGUCAAAUGCCACGAAACUUUUUGGAGAUUUUUUUCUGGACAAAAGAGACACUAGAUGCUUCAUGAGAAGACCAAACGAGGGAGCAUGGGCCCACAACCCACCAGGGCGCGUCCUGAUGGGUGGUGGGGCCCACGAGGCUCCGUUUGAACUAGCUCUGAAAUACUUUUUCCGCCGCCACAAGUUCCAGAACCACGAGAUCCCAUCUAGAGGCCUUUUUCGGCAUUCUGCCAAAGGGGGAUUCGAUCACGGAGGGGGCUCUUCAUCAUCCUUGCUGCCCUCCGAUGAUGCGUGAGUAGUUUACCACUGACCUAUGGGUCCAUAGAUAGUAGCUAGAUGGCUUCUUCUCUCUUUUUGAUCUUCAAUACAAUGUUCUCCUCGGUGUUCUUGGAGAUCUAUUUGAUGUAAUGACUUUUUGCGGUGUGUUUGUUGUGAACCGAUGAAUUGUGAGUUUAUGAUCAGAUCUAUCCAUGAAUAUUAUUUGAGUUUUCUCUUAACUCUUUUAUGCAUGAUUGUUAUAGCCUCAUAUUUGUUCUGCGAUUUAUUGGUUUGGUUUAGCCAACUAGAUUGAUUUAUCUUGCCAUGGGAAGAUGUGCUUUGUGAUGGGUUCGAUCUUGCGGUGCUCAAUCCAAGUGACAAAAAGGGACAUGACACGCAUGUAUCGUUGCUAUUAAGGGUAACAAGAUGAGAUUUAUUUCAUAUGUGAGUUUAUCUUGUCUACAUCAUGUCAUCUUGCUUAAGGCGUUACUCCGUUCUUCCAUGAACUUAAUACACUAAAUGCAUGCUGGAUAGUGGUCGAUGUGUGGAGUAAUAAUAGUAGAUGCAGAAUCAUUUUGGUCUACUUGUCUCGGACGUGAUGCCUAUAUACAUUAUUAUUGCCUUGGAUAUCGUCAUAAUUAUUUGCUUUUCUGUCAAUUGCCCAACAGUAAUUUGUCUACCCACCGUGUGUUAUUUUUAUGAGAGAAGCCUCUAGUGAAAACUAUGGGCCCGGGGUCUACUUUGUAUCAUAUAUUAAAACCAAAAAUAUCUCGCUGCAAUUUUAUUUUGUAUUUUUGUUUGAUCUAUCUAUUAAAAACUAUAUAGUCUAAUCUUGCUCAUAAUCGUUGAGGGAUUGAUAAGCCCUCUACGCGUUGAGUUGCAAGUAUUUGUUGUUUCUGUGUAGGUGUUGUUUACAUAGUGUUGCUUGGUUCUCCUACUGGAUUGAUAAUCUUGGUUUCAUAACUGAGGGAAAUACUUAUCUCUACUAUACCGCAUCAUCGUCCUCUCCUCUUCGAGGAAAUCCCAACGCAGUUCACAAGUAGCAGGAAGAAUUUCUGGCGCCGUUCCCGGGGAGACAUCAUCAACAACUAUCAAGUACCUACGCAUAAACCUUCAUCUCCUUUCAUAUACGUUAUUUUCCAUUUGCCUCUCGUUUUCAUCUCUCCCACUUUUAAAAAGUUUUUACAAAAAUACAAAAAUAUUUUCCUUUUGCCUUUUUCUUGUUUUGAUCGUUAUCUUGUCUGCUUGUUUUGAAACUAUCAUCAUGAGUGACUUUGGUAUGACAGAAAUGGAUGACGGUAGAACUCCUAAAAUUGGAAUUUCCACUAAUCUUCAUGCUAAAACUUUUGUGUUGGGACAAGGGAAUGUUAUAGGAAAAAGUGCCAUCCAAGAAUUCUUUAAUUGCAUUGGAACUUUGACUUGUGAUGAUGCUCCUAUACUUAAAAGAACCAAAACUUAUGCUGAAGCUAUUGCUGCACUUGUUCUUAAACUUGAGAGAAGAUUUAUUCGCACCCAUCCGACUUUCCAAAGAUUGUUUUAUAAGUUGCUGAUACGUCUCCAAUGUAUCUAUAAUUUUUGAUUGUUUCAUGUUGUUAUAUUAUCAUUCUUGGAUGUUUUACAAUCACUUUAUAUCAUUUUUGGGACUAACCUAUUGACAUAGUGCCUAGUGCCAGUUGCUAUUUUCUGCUUGUUUUUUUACAUCACAGGAAAUCAAUACCAAACGGAGUCCAAACGCAGCAAAACUUUUUGUGGAUUUUUUCUGGACCAGAAGACACCAGAUGGGCCAAGAAAGUACCUAAGGGGUGCUCCAAGGGGAGCACAACCCACCAAGGCGCGCCUGGGGGCCCAGGCGCGCCCAGGUGGGUUGUGCCCACCUCGGUGGCCUCCCGCGCCGCCUCUUUGCUCUAUAAAUACCCCCAUAUUCCAGAAACCCUAGGGGGUCGACGAAAAUCAAUUCCAGUCGUCGCAAAUUCCAGAACCACCCGAUCCAAUCUAGACACCAUCACGGAGGGGUUCAUCAUCCUCAUUGGUGCCCCUCCGAUGAUGCGUGAGUAGUUCAUUGUAGACCUACAGGUCCGUAGUUAGUAGCUAGAUGGCUUCCUCUCUCUCUUUUGAUUCUCAAUACAAUGGUCUCUUGGAGAUAUAUUUGAUGUAACUCUUUUUGCGGUGUGUUUGUUGGGAUCCAAUGGACUUUGAGUUUAUGAUCAGAUCUCUGUUUUUAUCCAUGAAAGUUAUUUGAGUCUUUUGAUCUCUUAUAUGCAUAAUUACUUAUAGCCUCAUAUUUCUUCUCCGAUAUUUGGGUUUUGUUUGGGCAACUUGAUCUAUUUAUCUUGCAAUGGGAAGAGGUGCUUUGUGAUGGGUUCGAUCUUACGGUGCUUGAUCCCAGUGACAGAAGGGGAACCAACACAUAUGUAUCGUUGCUAUUAAGGAUAACAAGAUGGGGUAUAUUUCUACAUAAAUAGAUCUUGUCUACAUCAUGUCAUCGUUCUUAUUGCAUUACUCCGUUUCUCCAUGAACUUAAUACACUAGAUGCAUGCUGGAUAGCGGUCGAUGUGUGGAGUAAUAGUAGUAGAUGCAGGCAGGAGUCGGUUUACUAAUCUUGGACAUGAUGCCUAUAUAAUGAUCAUUGCGUGGAUAUUGUCAUGAUUAUUUGAAGUUCUAUCAAUUGCCCAACUGUAAUUUGUUUACCCACCGUAUGCUAUUUUUCUCGAGAGAAGCCACUAGUGAAAUCUACGGCCCCCGGGUCUCUUCUUUAUUCUAUUGCCUUCGCGAUCUAUUUUUAUUUUCUUUUAUUUUCAUAUCUAUAAAUCCAAAAAUACAAAAUACCUUGCUACAAUUUAUUGUUAUUUAUUUUAUCUCGCAUUACCGCGAGAUCAUUUUAUCCAAUCUACUACAAUUUUACCUAUCUUUUUACCCGUGAGGGAUUGACAAGCCCUCUCUUACGUCGGGUUGCAAGUAUUUGUUCUUUGUGUGCAGGAGCUGUUUACGUGGUGUUGCGUGGUUCUCCUACUGGUUCCAUAACCUUGAUCUCAUCACUGAGGGAAAUACCUACCAUUGUUGUGCUGCAUCAUCCCUUCUUCUUUGGGGAAAUACCGACAUAGUUCAAGCAAACAUCAAAAGGAAUUUUUGGCGACGUUGCCGGGGAGACAUCAUCAACAUCUACCAGGUUCCUAAUCACAAAUCUCAUCUCCUUGCAAUUUACAUUAUUUGCCAUUUGCCUCUCGUUUUCCUCUCCCCCACUUCACAAAAAUUGCCGUUUUAUUCACCCUCUUUUUCGUUCGCCGUUUUCUCGUCAGAUCUCUUGUUUGCUAUGUUUGCUUGUGUUCCCAUGUGCCUUUUAUUUGCUUGCAUCUUCACUUGCUAAAAAUCUAUCGAUAUGGAUCCUCAUCCACUUGCUAAUCUUUUUAAAAGAUCCAAUUAUGAUGAACCAAUCUCUAGUGAGUUAAGUGCACUAGAUUAUAUUUAUGAAGUUUUGCUUGAGAUUCAUGAAUCUAAAAAUUGUGAUGAAGUGUUAAAAGAAGGAAUUUAUAAACUGAUUCAUGAUAGCUCCUUGGAUGAAAAGGAUGAUUGCAAUGAUGUUAUUAUAAAUUCUAUUAAUGUCAAUUGUGCUAAUAAUAUUGAAAACCCCAAGCUUGGGGAUGCUUGUUUUGUUAUGUCGGCCACUUAUUGCAAUGAUCAUGUUUGGGGUGAUGAUGAUUCUUAUGAUCUUGAUAGUUUAUUUAAGCCUCAUGAUGAAUAUGUUUGCAGUAAUAUUGAAAGUGGGUUCGGAAGAGUGUCAACUCUAGGUAAAAAUAAUCCCACAUAUUUGGAGAGUGUUCAAUCUUGUGAAAUUUUUGAUAAAAGUGGGUUUGGAGAGGUCAUGACUUUGGUUGAUGUUAAUCCCACUAUCUUGGAAGAUUAUAAAACUUUUAUGCAUGUGGAUCAUGAAGAGAAAAUUUUAUAUGAUAGUUAUAUUUUUGAAUUUGAUUAUGAUCCCACAUGUAAUUAUCAUGAGAGAGGAAAAUAUUGUGGUGGAAAUUUUUAUGUUACUAAAUUACCUCUCGUUAUGUUGAGAUCGUCAAUGUUUUAUUCUUCUACCUUGCAUAUGCUAGAAAUUUCUUGUCUUGAUAAUUUGUUUGCUUAUAAAAUGCCUAUGCAUAGGAAGUAUGUUAGACUUGUGUUUUUCACAUGUUACAUGAUGCUCUCUUCGUGUUUUAAUUACUAUCUUUCAUGUGAGCAUCAUUGAAAUCUAAUGCCCAGCUAGGGGCAUAAAACGAUAGCGCUCGUUGGGAGGCAACCCAACUUGUAUCUUUUUGCCUUUUGGUUUUCUUGCUGUUUUCAAUAAAAUACCAAAUUAUGCCUCUGUUUAUAUGUGUUUUUGUGGUUUAAAUUAGUGUUUGUGCCAAGCAAAGCCUUUGGGAUGAUUUGGGUGAUAGUUUAUUUGAUCUUGCUGAAAAAUAGAAACUUUUGCGCUCACGAAAAUAAUUCUCAUUUUUAACAGAAGCGUGAUAAAAUACUAAUUAUUUUUGCAGAAGAUUAAUAUACAAAUUUCUCACAUUGUCCUAAUGUUUCAGAAAUUUUGGAGUUACAUAAGUAUUCUAGAUAUUCAAAUUGCUACAGAUUGUUCUGUUUUUUGACAGAUUCUGUUUCUUUGUGUUGUGUGCUUGUUUUGAUGAUUCUAUGGUUUUCUUUGAAGAGUUGUUGCCAUAGAAAAGUUGGAAUACAGUAGAUAUAAUGCAAAAAUAAAAUAUGAAUGGGUUUGCAACAGUACUUUAUAGCAGUGAUUUGCUUUCUUAUACUAACGGAUCUCACGAAGGUUUUGUUGAGUUUUGUGUGAUUGUAGUUUUCAAGUUUUGGGUGAGAUCACGAUGGAUGAAGGAAUAAGGAGUAAGAAGAGCCUAAGCUUGGGGAUGCCCAUGGCAUCCCAAGCUAUUAUCCAAAGAGAAGCAAGCAACUAAGCCUGGGGAUGCCCCCGAGUGGCAUCCCCUCUUUCUUCUAACAACCAUCGGUAUUUUACUUGGAACUAUAUUUUUAUUCGUCACAUAUUAUGAGUUUUGCUUGGAGCGUCUUGUAUGAUAUGAGUCUUUUCUUGUUUUGAUUUUUUAUUUUAAGUCAUGAAUCCUUGCCGGACACACCUAUUUGAGAGAGCCAAAAUUAUUCUAUGACUUGUUAGAAUUGCUCUCUAUGCUUCACUUGAAUCUUUAUGAGCUAUGGAAUUGCUCUAGUGCUUCACUUAUAUCUUUUUGAGCACGGUGCGCUUUAUUAUUUUUGAAGAAAUGCUCUCAUGCUUCACUUAGAUUUAUUUGAGAGUUAGUAAAAUUUUAAGAAAUUCUCUCUUGCUUCACUUAAAUUAUUUUGAGAGAAGAAAAAAAUAUGCUCAUGUUCUUCACUUAUAUUUGUUUGAGCUAUCAAAAGCAACAUAUGAAAUUAGUUCCAAAGUGAUAGAUAUCCAAGGAGGAUAUAAUAAAAACUUUCAUGAAGAUCGUUGGACAAAAUAAACUUGAUUCUUUGUAAUAGUUUUGAGAUAUGAUGAUAAAAUAUGUGAGUCAUGUUGAUGAGUAAUUAUGCUUUAGUAAGAAUAUUGGUGUUAAGGUUUGUGAUUCCCUAUGCAAGCACGAAAGUCAAUAGUUAUGCAAUGAAAUUACAUCCUACUUGUGGUGCAUUAUUCGGUGUUAGUUAUGCUUAAUGCUCGCUUAUGAGAUUUUUCGUUUCUUGGUGGGAUGCUUCUCAAUCUUUUGCUAGCCUUCACUUGCACUAAGUAUGAUCACUACUUGUGCAUCCAAAAAUCCUUUAGACCAGUUUUGCCACAUGAGUCCACUAUACCUACCUAUAUGCGGUAUUCUUUUGCCGUUCUAAGCAAAUUUGUAUGUGCCAUCUAUAAUUUUCAAAAUAAACUUCUCUUUUGUGUGCUCGUACCGCUCAUGAAAUGGUAGGGGGUGGCUAAUAUAUUUCCAUGCUAGAUGUGUUAUUCUCAAGAUGAGUGUUUAUUCACUUGUCAUUGCACGAGAGUACGGCAAAUGCAUUAGGGAUGCCCAAUCCCGAAAUCAAAAAUGAAUUUACUUUAUGUUGUCAAAUAAUAAAUUCCUUGGAAAGUGUUGGUAUGGAAGGCACCCGUGGAUACGGUUAGCCAUGUAAAGUGAAAGUAUGCUGGAAAAAGGAAUACAAUUUAUUUUCUGUUUGGGAACCGCCUAUGAUAUAUCUAGCAUGGAAAGUAUUGGGAACCACUCGAUCGUUUUCGUUGACAGGAAAAGCAUGCCUCCCAAAAUGUUUUUAUCUAUCUUUUUCGCUUUGAGCUCUGGCACCUCUACAAAUCCUUACUUCCCUCCGCGAAGGGCCUUUCUAUUUACUUUAUGCAAUUUUUAUUUUUAUUUUGAGUCUCCAUCUUCUCUUAUAAAGCACCAACUAAGGGGCACUAUGAUCGUACUUGAGCAUUGGGUAUAGCUAAUAUGCGAGUGUGUUUCAUGAAUGGAUCAAUGAUUGAGCAUAAUGGGCCAGGGAUAACUUGCUUUAUUGUUGAUAUUUUGAAAGACAUGGUUGCUUGUUGAUAUGCUUGAGUAUUAAAGUCCUCAUGUCAAAACUAGACUAUUGCUUUGAACCAUAUAAAAGUCCAAAUGUCCAUGCUAUAAAGAAAAGAAUAUGUGAUCAACAUGUUAGGCAACAUUCCACAUCAAAAAUUCUGUUUUUAUCCUUUACCUACUCGAGGACGAGCAGGAAUUAAGCUUGGGGAUGCUGAUACAUCUCCAACGUAUCUAUAAUUUUUGAUUGUUCCAUGCUGUUAUAUUAUCAUUCUUGGAUGUUUUAUAAUCAUUUUACAACCAUUUUAUAUCAUUUUUUUGGGACUAACCUAUUGACAUAGUGCCCAGUGCCAGUUGCUGUUUUCUGCUUGUUUUUUUACAUCGCAGGAAAUCAAUACCAAACGGAGUCCAAACGCAGCGAAAUUUUUUGUGGAUUUUUUCGGGACCAGAAGACACCAGAUGGGCCAAGAAAGUACCCGAGGGGUGCUCCGAGGGGGGCACAACCCACCAGGGCAUGCCUGGGGGCCCAGGCGCGCCCAGGUGGGUUGUGCCCACCUCAAUGGCCUCCCGCACCGCCUCUUUUCUCUAUAAAUACCCCAAUAUUCCAGAAACCCUAGGGGUCGACGAAAAUCAAUUCCAGCCGCCGCAAGUUCCAGAACCACCAGAUACAAUCUAGACACCAUCACGGAGGGGUUCAUCAUCCUCAUUGGUGCCUCUCCGAUGAUGCGUGAGUAGUUCAUUGUAGACCUACGGGUCCGUAGUUAGUAGCUAGAUGGCUUCCCCUCUCUCUUUUGAUUCUCAAUACAAUGGUCUCUUGGAGAUCUAUUUGAUGUAACUCUUUUUGUGGUGUGUUUGUUGGGAUCCGAUGAACUUUGAGUUUAUGAUCAGAUCUAUGUUUUUAUCCAUGAAAGUUAUUUGAGUCUUUUGAUUUCUUAUAUGCAUGAUUACUUAUAGCCUUGUAUUUCUUCUCCGAUAUUUGGGUUUUGUUUGGCCAACUUGAUCUAUUUAUCUUGCAAUGGGAAGAUGUGCUUUGUGAUGGGUUCGAUCUUAUGGUGCUUGAUCCCAGUGACAGAAGGGGAACCGACACGUAUGUAUCGUUGCUAUUAAGGAUAACAAGAUGGGGUCUAUUUCUACAUAAAUAGAUCUUGUCUACAUCAUGUCAUCGUUCUUAUUGCAUUACUCUGUUUCUCCAUGAACUUAAUACACUAGAUGCAUGCUGGAUAACGGUUGAUGUUCGGAGUAAUAGCAGUAGAUGCAGGCAGGAGUCAGUUUACUAAUCUUGGACGUGAUGCCUAUAUAAUGAUCAUUGCCUGGAUAUCGUCAUGAUUAUUUGAAGUUCUAUCGAUUGCCCAACAGUAAUUUGUUUACCCACCGUAUGCUAUUUUUCUCGAGAGAAGCCAAUAGUGAAAUCUACGGCCCCGCGUCUCUUCUUUAUUAUAUUUGCCUUCGCGAUCUAUUUUUAUUUGCUUUUAUUUUCAAAUCUAUUAAUCCAAAAAUCCAAAAAUACCUUGCUGCAAUUUAUUUUUAUUUAAUUAUCUCGCGUUCCCGCGAGAUCUAUUUAUCCAAUCUACUAUAAUUUUACCUAUCUUUUUACCCGUGAGGGAUUGACAACCCCUCUCUUACGUCGGGUUGCAAGUAUUUGUUCUUUGUGUGCAGGAGCUGUUUACGUGGUGUUGCGUGGUUCUCCUACUGGUUCGAUAACCUUGGUCUCAUCACUGAGGGAAAUACCACCGUUGUUGUGCUGCAUCAUCCCUUUCUCUUUGGGGAAAUACCGACGUAGUUCUAGCAAACAUCAAUUGCCUGUUAUAAAAAACCCUAGAGCAAAAAAGAAAGCUACUCUUGUCCUCAUGAAUGAAUUUGAUCACAUGGUGCGGGAAGCUAGGGAGAUCUUUGAUUUUUAUGGUAUGAACCGUGAAAAACCAGUGAUAGAUGAGAUCCUUUAUAAUAGUGAUUACUUAUUGAGGCAUUUGCUUCGCAACGACCGCAUAUUUAAUGAGAAUAUUAAAAAGGAAGUCCCUCCUUUCAAUAUGUCCAAAUUUUUUUCAAUAAUGUUAAGCAAUAAUACUCUUGGAUUGUAGCCGGUAAUCAAGGGGGUUUGUAGAUGGACAACUUGCUAAUGCUAAGAUUUCUAUGGAUGAAGUGUUUUUCAUUACUUUCGAAAAGCCGCCCGAUGAAAACAUAUCUUUGGAAAAGAAAGAGGACAAUACUUCAAACUUUGCAUUAUACUAAGCUAGGGGCAUAAAACAAUAGCGCUAGUUGGGAGGCAACCCAAUAGUUAUCUUUUAUUUAUUUUUUUGUUUUCCUUGUUGUUUUUCAAUAAAUACACAAUUAUGCUACUGUUAUGAUUGUGUUUUAGUUUUUUAAUUAGUGUUUGUGCCAAGCAUAGACUUUGGGAUGAUUUGGGUGAUAGUUGCUUUGAUUCUGUACAUUAACAGAAACUUUUGCGUCUAGUAGGAGAAUUGUUAAAAUUUGCUGGAGCGUGAUAAAAUUCUGAUUUUUUUACAUCUGAUUGAUAUACAAAUUUCCCACCUUGUCCUAAUUUUUUCGAAUUUUCGGAGUUACAGAAGUAUGGUCACUGUUCAUAUUACUACACACUGUUUUUUUGGACAGAUUUUGUUUUCCAUGCAUUGUUCCGCUUGUUUUGAUGAAACUAUGGAUUGUAUCGGGGGGUAUAGCCAUGGAGAAGUUAGAAUACAUUAGAUAAAAUGCAAAAACAAAAUAUGAAUGGGUUUUCAACAGUACUUAAAGUAGUGAUUUGCUUUAUUAUACUAACGGAUCUCACGAGGUUUUGUUGAGUUUUGUGUGAUUGAAGUUUUCAAGUUUUGAAUGAUAUCGUGAUGGAUGAAGGAAUAAGGAGUGGCAAGAGCCUAAGCUUGGGGAUGCCUGAGGCACCAUAAGGUAAUAUUCAAGGACACCCAAGCAACUAAGCUUGGGGAUGCCCCGGAAGGCAUCCCCUCUUUGUUCUAACGACCAUUGGUAAUUUUACUUAGAGCUAUAUUUUUAUUCGUCACAUAUCAUGAGUUUUGCUUGGAGCGUCUUGUAUUAUACGAGUCUUUGCUUUGUUUGCUUUUUAGUUUGUCACAAUAUCCUUGCUGAACACACUUGUUUGAGAGUGCCACACACAUAUCAUGAUUUGCUAAAAUACUCUAUGUGCUUCACUUAAAUCUUUUGAGCUAGGCAGUUGCUCUAGUACUUCACUUAUAUCUUUUUGAGAAAGGCGGUGGUUAUAUUUUAAAGAAAUAUGCUCUCAUGCUUCACUUAUAUUAUUUUGAGAGUUGAUUUUUUUUUUAAAGAAAUAUGCUCUGAUGCUUCACUUAUAUAUUUUUUAGAGUUGAUAAUAGCAAUGGUAAUUUGCAUAAGAUAUGAAUUUGGUCCCAAAGUGAUGGAUAUCCAAGGGGGAUAUAACAAAAACUUUCAUAUAAAUCAUUGGAUAUGAUAAACUUGAUUCCUUGCAAUAGUUUUGCAAUAUGGAGAUAGUGAUAUGUGAGCAAUAUUGUUGGUGAGUAAUUAUGCUUUAGUAAUAAUAUUGGUGCCUAUGCAUGCACGUAAAGUCAAUAAUUAUGCAAUGAAGUUUAUGACCAUUUUCGUUUUUUGGUUGGUCGCUUCUCAAUUUAUUUGCUAGCCUUCACUUGUACUAAGCGGGAAUGCUGCUUGUGCAUCCAACUCCUAAAACCCAGAGUUGUGCCAUUUGAGUCCACCAUACCUACCUAUAUGUGGUAUUUCCAUGCCAUUCCAAGUAAAUUUGCAUGUGCCAACUCUAAUUUUCAAAAUGAAUUCCCAUUUUUUGUGCCCGUACUGCUCAUGAAGCGGCAUGGGUGGCCAAUAUUUUCCAUGAUAGCUAUUUUAUUCUCACGAUGAGUUUACUCACUUGUCAUUGCACGAGAGUGUGGCAGGUAAUAGGGAUGCCCAGUCCCGAAAUGAAAAAUACUAUGAUAAUAAAUUCCUUGGGAAGUGUUGGUAUGGAAGGCAUUCGUGGAUACGGCUGGCCACGGAUUGUGAAAAAUGGUGGAAAUGAAAAAAAUUUACUUUCUAUUUGGGAAUCGCCUAUAAUUUGUCUAGCAUGGAAGAUAUUGAGAAUUCUCGGUCGGUUUCGUUGACAGGAAAAGCAUGCCUCUCAAAAUAAUUUUUUAUCUCCAAUUUAAACCUUGAGCUGUGGCACCUCUGCAAAUCUCUGCUUCCCUCUGUGAACGGCCUAUAUAUUUACUUUUAUGCAAUUUUUAUUUUUAUGUUGAGUCUCCAUCUUCUCUUACAAAGCACCAACUAGGGAACACUAUUGUCAUACUUGCAUGCUGGAUGUAGCUAAUAUUUGAGUGUGUUUCGUGAAUGGAUCAAUGAUCGAGCAUAAUGGGCCAGGGAUAACUUUCUUUAGCAUUGAUAUUUUGAAAGACAUGGUUGCUUGUUGAUAUGCUUGAGUAUCGAUGUCUUCAUGUCAAAUUAUAGACUAUUGCUUUGAAUCAUUCAAGUCCAAAUAUCCAUGCUACAAAAGAAAAUAAUAUAUGAUGAAUAUGUUAAGUAGCAUUCCACAUCAAAAAUUCUGUUUUUAUCAUUUAACCACUUGAGGACGAGCAGGAAUUAAACUUUGGGAUGCUUGAUACGUCUCAACGUAUCUAUAUCUUUUUAUUGUUCCAUGUUAUUUUAUUAUCAAUCCUGGAUGUUUUAUAUACACUUACAAGAAAUUUUAUAUCAUUUUUGCGACUAACUAUUAACUUAGUGCCCGACAAUGAUGGAAAGGUGAGAUGCGUGAGCCAUGGAUAUAGCACUAUGGGUGGAAUAGAAUAUGAUGAUGGGGGUUAUGUGGAGAAGACAAAAAAGGAGAAAGUCUCACAUCAACGAGGCUAAUCAAUGAGCUAUGGAGAUGCCCAUCAAUUGAUGUUAAUGCAAGGAGUAGGGAUUGCCAUGCAACAGAUGCACUAGAGCUAAUAAAUAUAUGAAAGCUCAACAAAAGAAACUAAGUGGGUGUGCAUCCAACUUGCUUGCUCACGAAGACCUAGGGCACUUGAGGAGGCCCAUUGUUGGAAUGUACAAGCCAAGUUCUAUAAUGAAAAAUUCCCACUAGUAUAUGAAAGUGUCAAAACGAGAGACUCUCUAUCAUGAAGAUUAUGGUGCUACUUUGAAGCACAAGUGUGGUAAAGGGAUAGUAACAUUGUCCCUUCUCUCUUUUUCUCUCAUUUUUUUGGGCCUUCUCUUUUUUUUAUGGCCUUUCUCUUUUUUAUAUUCCUCACUUGGGACAAUGCUCUAGAAAAAUGAUGAUCAUCACAGUUCUAUUUAUUUACAACUCAAUGAUUACAACUCGAUACUAGAACAAAGUAUAACUCUAUAUGAAUGCCUCCGGCGGUGUACCAGGAUAUGCAAUGAACCAAGAGUGACAUGUAUGAAAGAAUUAUGAAUGGUGGCUUUGCCACAAAUACGAUGUCAACUACAUGAUCAUGCAAAGCAAUAUGACAAUGAUGAACAUGUCAUGAUAAACGGAACGGUGGAAAGUUGCAUGACAAUAUAUCUCGGAAUGGCUAUGGAAAUGCCAUAAUAGGUAGGUAUGGUGGCUGUUUUGAGGAAGAUAUAAGGAGGUUUAUGUGUGAAAGAGCGUAUCAUAUCACAGGGUUUGGAUGCACCGGCGAAGUUUGCACCAACUCUUAAUGUGAGAAAGGGCAAUGCACGGUACCGAAGAGGCUAGCAAUGAUGGAAAGGUGAGAGUGCGUAUAAUCCAUGGACUCAACAUUAGUCAUAAAGAACUCACAUACUUAUUGCAAAAAUCUACAAGUCAUCAAAAACCAAGCACUACGCGCAUGCUCCUAGGGGGAUAGAUUGGUAGGAAAAGACCAUCGCUCGUCCCCGACCGCCACUCAUAAGGAGGACAAUCAAAGAACACCUCAUGUUUCAAAUUUGUUACAUAACGUUUACCAUACGUGCAUGCUACGGGACUUGCAAACUUCAACACAAGUAUUUCUCAAAUUCACAACUACUCAACUAGCACAACUUUAAUAUCACUACCUCCAUAUCUCCAAACAAUCAUCAAGCAUCAAACUUCUCUUAGUAUUCAAAACACUCGUAAGAAAGUUUUUACUAGUCUUGAAUACCUAGCAUAUUAGGAUUAUUUUUUAAGCAAAUUACCAUGCUAUUUAAGACUCUCAAAAUAAUAUAAGUGAAGCAUGAGAGUACAUCUAUUUCUUCAAAAUAAAACCACCACCGUGCUCUAAAAGAUAUAAGUGAAGCACUAGAGCAAACAACAAACUACUCUGAAAGAUAUAAGUGAAGAUCAAUGAGUAGUUAAAUAAUUAUGUAACUAUGUGAAGACUCUCUAACAUUUAAGAAUUUCAUAUCUUGGUAUUUUAUUCAAACAGCAAGCAAGGCUAAAGAAAAUAAAAUGACGCUCCAAGCAAAACACAUAUCAUGUGGUGAAUAAAAAUAUAGCUCCAAGUAAAGUUACCGAUGAACGAAGACGAAAGAGGGGAUGCCAUCCGGGGCAUCCCCAAGCUUAGGCUCUUGGUUGUCCUUGAAUAUUACCUUGGGGUGCCUUGGGCAUCCCCAAGCUUAGGCUCUUGCCACUCCUUAUUCCAUAGUCCGUCGAAUCUUUACCCAAAACUUGAAAACUUCAGAACACAAAACUUAACAGAAAACUCGUAAGCUCCGUUAGUGAAAGAAAAAAAAACACCACUUCAAGGUACUGUAAUGAACUCAUUCUUUAUUUAUAUUGGUGUUAAACCUACUGUAUUCCAACUUCUCUAUGGUUUGUAAACUAUUUUACUAGCCAUAGAUUCAUCAAAAUAAGCAAACAACACACGAAAAACAGAAUCUGUCAAAAAUAGAACAGUCUGUAGUAAUCUGUAACUAACGCAAACUUAUGGAACUCAAACAAUUCUACCAAAAUAGGACGGACUAGAUAAUUUGAUUAUUGAUCUACUUCAAUUGGAAUCGGUAUUUUAUCAUGUUCUGGUAAUUUUUAACAAUUGUUUUCGUGAGCAGAAAGUUUCUGUCUUUUUCAGCGAGAUCAAAUAACUAUCAUCCAAGAAGAUCCUAUAGGUUUAACUUGGCACAAACACUAAUUAAAACAUAAAACCACAUCUAACCAUAGGCUAGAUAGAUUAUUUAUUCCUAAACAUAACCAAAAAGCAAGAAACAAAAAUAAAAUUGGGUUGCCUCCCAACAAGCGCUAUCGUUUAACGCCCCUAGCUAGGCAUGAUGAUUUCAAUGAUGCUCACAUAAAAGAUAAGAAUUGAAAUAUAAAGAGAGCAUCAUGAAGAAUAUGACUAGCACAUUUAAGCCUAACCCACUUCCUAUGCAUAGGGAUUUUGUGAGCAAACAACUUAUGGGAACAAUAAUCAACUAGCAUAGGAAGGCAAAACAAGCAUAACUUUAAAACUUUAAGCACAUAGAGAGGAAACUUGAUAUUAUUACAAUUCCUACAAGCAUAUAUUCCUCCCUCAUGAUAAUUUUCAGUAGCAUCAUUAAUUAAUUCAACAAUAUAACCAGCACCUAAAGCAUUCUUUUCAUGAUCUACAAGCAUAGAAAAUUUAUUUCUCUCCACAUAAGCAAAAUUCUUCUCAUUCGGAAUAGUGGGAGUAUCAUAAGAGACUCGAAUACUAUAAAUUUUUUCCACAUUAAAAGAGUAAUGUUCAGAGAAAGGGUACUCAUAAUCAUGACAAGUUUUAUAAAUAUAAUCAUCACUACUCUUUAUAGCAUAAGUUUCAUCACAAUAAUCAUCAUAAGUAGCAACUUUGUUCUCAUCAUAAUCAAUUGAAACCUCUUCCGAAAUAGUGGAUACAUCACUAAAUAAAGUCAUGACCUCUCCAAAUCCACUUUCAUAAAUAUUAUAAGAUUCAACACCCUCCAAAAUAGUAGGAUCACUACUUCCUAAAGUUGACACUCUUCCAAACCCACUUUCAUCAAUAUAAUCAUCAUAGGUAGGAGGCAUGCUAUCAUCAUUAUAAAUUUGCAUAUCAAAACUUGGGAGACUAAAAAUAUCAUCCUCAUUAAACGUAGCAUCCCCAAGCUUGGGACAAGCAUUAAUUGCAGCAAAUAUUUUCUCAAAAACAUCAUCUUCAUCAAACAUAGCAUCCCCAAGCUUCGGCCUUUUCAUAUCAUAAGCAUAAUCACUCUCAUCAUUAAUAGUAUGGAUAACACCAAUAGUAUAGUAAUUAUCAUAUUCUUCCAAGCAAGUGCCAAAAAGAUUUUCAAGAUCAUAAGGAGUAUCAUUAUCUUCCCAAUCAUAAUCAUCACAACAAGCAAUAGGCAUAACGAGAUCAUCAUCAAGUGCAUCAUCUUCAUUUUCAUGAGGCACAACAAUAAUAGGAGCAACAUUAUUUGGGAGAGAUAUCUUUUUACCUCUCUUCCUUUUUCUUUUCUUCUUCUUCACCUCAUGUGUGGGUUCAAUCCUCUUUUUGGAGCUCCUUAUUAAUGAGAUUGGUUGAAUAGAGGGCUCCUCCUCGUUACCUGGUUCAUCAUAAGAAAUGAUAGGAGGAUAUUGGGAAGUCUCUUCCCUUUCAUUAGUAUUUUCUUCAUCUUCUAUUUGUUUUCUUUUCUUUAUGUAAUUGGCAAUAUAAGGAUUUUCAAUGCAAUUCAUCGCACAAUACAUAUAAAUUUCUUCUGGAUCAAUAUCGAGGAAUUUCUCGAGGUUAUAUUCUGGAAUAAACUUAGUUUGACAUUUCAAUUCUUCAUAACCUAAAAGCAAACUAAGUUCAUUAUAAUGUGCAAGGGAAAUCAAGUCAUCACAAUUUUUGGACACGAUUCGAUCAUGAAACAAUUUGCAUUUGAUAUUUAAAUGGCCUGGUUCAUUGCAAAGUUCACAAGUAUGGCUAAGAUAUUUUAAAUUUUCAGCACUAACAUUUAGCCUUUCUUGCAACCAUUUAGUUUCCAAGUACUUAAUGCCUCUUGCAAUAUCUAUCUUCCCUAUUUGGUGUGUACUUGCAAACCCAAUAUACUCCACAAAAAUCGACAUGCUUAUAAGAGAUAUUUUCAUCAUGACUAGAGCAAUCAUCAUUAGUACCAUGGAUAUUCAAGGGGUUCAUACUAACAACAUUGCAAUCAUGCUCAUAAUUCAAAGAUUUAGUGCCAAACAUUUUAAUGCAUUCUUCUUCUAACACUUUGGCACAAUUUUCCUUCCCAUCAUACUCUCGAAAGAUAUUAAAAAGAUGAAGCAUAUGAGACAAACUCAAUUCCAUUUUUUUGGUAGAUUUCUUUUAUAAACUAAACUAGUGAUAAAACAAGAAACAAAAAGAUUCGAUUGCAAGAUCUAAAGAUAUACCUUCAAGCACUCACCUCCCCGGCAACGGCGCCAGAAAUUGCUUGAUGUCUACUAUGCAACCUUCUUCUUGUAGACGUUGUUGGGCCUCCAAGUGCAGAGGUUUGUAGGACAGUAGCAAAUUUCCCUCAAGUGGAUGACCUAAGGUUCAUCAAUCCGUGGGAGGCGUAGGAUGAAGAUGGUCUCUCUCAAACAACCCUGCAACCAAAUAACAAAGAGUCUCUUGUGUCCCCAACACACCCAAUACAAUGGUAAAUUGUAUAGGUGCACUAGUUCGGCGAAGAGAUGGUGAUACAAGUGCAAUAUGGAUAGUAGAUAUAGGUUUUUGCAAUCUGAAAUUAUAAAAACAGCAAGGUAACUAAUGAUAAAAGUGAGUGUAAACGGUAUUGCAAUGCUAGGAAACAAGGCCUAGGGUUCAUACUUUCACUAGUGCAAGUUCUCUCAACAAUAAUAACAUAAUUGGAUCAUAUAAAUAUCCCUCAACAUGCAACAAAGAGUCACUCCAAAGCCACUAAUAGCGGAGAACAAACGAAGAGAUUAUGGUAGGGUACGAAACCACCUCAAAGUUAUUCUUUCCAAUCAAUCCAUUGGGCUAUUCCUAUAAGUGUCACAAACAGACCUAGAGUUCAUACUAGAAUAACACCUUAAGAUACAAAUCAACCAAAACCCUAAUGUCACCUAGAUACUCCAAUGUCACCUCAAGUAUCCGUGGGUAUGAUUAUAUGAUAUGUAUCACACAAUCUCAUAUUCAUCUAUUCAAUCCAACACAAAGUACUUCAAAGAGUGCCCCAAAGUUUCUACCGGAGAAUCAAGACGAAAACGUGUGCCAACCCCUAUGCAUAGGUUCAUGGGCGGAACCCGCAAGUUGAUCACCAAAACAUACAUCAAGUGAAUCAUGUGAUAUCCCAUUGUCACCACAGAUACGCAUGGCAAGACAUAAAUCAAGUGUUCUCAAAUCAUUAGAAGACUCAAUCCGAUAAGAUAACUUCAAAAGGGGGAACUCAAUCCAUUACAAGAGAGUAGAGGGGGAGAAACAUCAUAAGAUCCAACAAUAGUAGCAAAGCUCGCGAUACAUCAAGAUCGUAUCACCUCAAGAACACGAGAGAGAGACGGAUCAAACACAUAGCUACUGGUACAUACCCUCAGCCCCGAGGGUGAACUACUCCCUCCUCGUCAUGGAGAGCGCCGGGAUGAUGAAGAUGGCCACCGGUGAGGGUUCCCCCCUCCGGCAGGGUGCCAGAACAGGGUCCCAGUUGGGUUUUGGUGGCUACAGAGGCUUGCGGCGGCGGAACUCCCAAUCUAUUCUGUUCCCCGAUCGUUUUAGGGUAUAUGGAUAUAUAUAGGCGGAAGAAAUACGUCAGGGGAGCCACGAGGGGCCCACGAGGGUGGAGGGCGCGCCCAGGGGGGUGGGCGCGCCCCCCUGCCUCGUGCCUCCCUCGUUUCUUUCUUGACGUGGACUCCAAGUCUCCCUGGUUGCUUUCUUUCCAAAAAUAACUUCUCCAGAAGGUUUCAUUCCGUUUCAACUCCGUUUGAUAUUCCUUUUCUUCGAAACACUGAAACAAGAGAAAAACAGGAACUGGCACUGGGCUCUGGGUCAAUAGGUUAGUCCCAAAAGUAAUAUAGAAGUGUUUAAUAAAGCCCAUAAACAUCCAAAAUAGAUAAUAUAAUAGCAUGGAACAAUAAAAAAAUUAUAGAUACGUUGGAGACGUAUCAGCGGUGUGCUCCUCUGUUCGGAGGGAGCGUUCCAUGUUGCCAUUGACUGUUAUGACGCCGCGUGGACCGGGCAUCUUGAGUUUGAGGUAAGCGUAGUGUGGGACUGUGUUGAAUCUAGCAAACGCCGUUCAUCCGAGCAAUGCGUGGUCGCCGCUGCAGAAGGGGACGAUGUCGAAGAUUAACUCCUCGCUUCGGAAAUUGUCCGGAGAGCCGAAGACCACUUCUAGCGUGAUUGAGCCCGUACAUCGGGCCUCGACGCCCGGAAUGACUCCUUUGAAGGUAGUCUUUGUUGGUUUAAUUCGGGAGGGGUCAAUGCCCAUCUUCCGCACUGUGUCUUGAUAGAGCAGGUUGAGGCUGCUACCACCGUCCAUUAAGACUCGUGUUAGGUGAAACCCAUCAAUGAUUGGGUCGAGGACCAAUGCGGCCGAACCGCCAUGACGGAUACUGGUUGGGUGGUCUCGUCGAUCAAAGGUGAUCGGGAAUGACGACCAUGGAUUGAAUUUAGGGGAGACUGGCUCUACCGCGUAGACGUCCCUGAGUGCAUGCUUACGCUCCCUUUUGUGGAUGUGUGUAGCGUAUAUCAUGUUCACCGUUUUGACUUGGGGGGGGGGAUUUCUUCUGCCCCCCAGUGUUCGGCUGCCGGGGCUCUUCGUCCUCGUCCUCACUUUGUGAUCCCUUUUCUUUAUUUUCGGCAAUUAACUUGCCGGCCUGCUUAAAAACCCAACAGUCCCUGUUGGUGUGAUUGGCUUGCUUAUCCGGGGUGCCGUGUAUUUGGCACGGACGGUCAAGUAUGCGGUCCAGGCUGGAAGGUCCUUCAUUGUUUCUUUUGUAGGGCUUCUUCCAUUGGCCGGACUUGGAGCCGCUGAAUCCGGCGUUGACUGUGGUGUCAUUGGUGUUGUUGUCAUUGCUUCGGCGUUUGUGCCUAUUGCGCCGGAGCUUGCUAGUGCUAUUUUAGGCCUCGGAGGGGCCUGUCUCGCUGGCUGUGUUGUUACUACGAGCCAGCCAACUAUCCUCUCCCGCGUAAAAGCGGGUCAUGAGCGCCGUGAGGGCUGCCAUGGAUUUCGGCUUUUCUUGGCCGAGGUGGCGUGCUAGCCAUUCAUCAUGGAUGCUGUGUUUGAAGGCUGCUAAGGCCUCGGCAUCCGGACAGUCAACGAUCUGGUUCUUUUUGGUUAGGAACCUAGUCCAGAAUUUUCUGGCUGAUUCUCCGGGUUGUUGAACUAUGUGGCUUAAGUCAUCGGCGUCAGGUGGCCGGACAUAAGUUCCUUGGAAGUUGUCCAGGAAAGCUUCUUCCAAGUCCUCCCAGCUGCCGAUAGAAUUUUCAGGCAGGCUGUUAAGCCAGUGCCGAGCUGGCCCUUUGAGCUUGAGUGGGAGGUAUUUAAUGGCGUGGAGAUCAUCUCCUCGAGCCAUGUGGAUGUGGAGGAUGAAAUCCUCGAUCCAUACUGCGGGAUCGGUUGUGUCGUCGUAUGAUUCGAUAUUGACGGGCUUGAAUCCCUCAGGGAAUUCAUGGUCCAAUACUUCAUCUGUGAAGCAGAGAGGGUGUGCGGCGCCUCUAUAUCGGGCCGAGUCGUGGCGUAGCUCUGAUGGAGUCCGUCUGCGAUAUUCGGCCUGGGCGUGGUUAGAUUUAUCACGUUCGUAUAGGUAGCCUUCUUCGUGCCUCGAGGCACGCCCUCGCGAUCCGUAGAUCGAUCUUGUGUGUCCUAUUUUAUCGUCCAGGAUUUGCCGGAGGUCGUAUGUGUGACCCCGAACUCUUCCGUCUCUAUUUUUACGAGUCGGUGGGGCAGGCUGCUGUUCGGCCUGAGUUGCCGCUUUGUCCCGGCCGCGGGGUGGCCGGUCAGCCGCCCUAUCUCGACCACGCAGUGGUCAUUCCGCAUUACGCGAGGGAGAUGUGUGCUCCGGUGUCUCCUCAUCGAAUUGAGGUAGCAGUCUGCAUUUCGGGUAGCUCUUGGCUGGGCGCUUGAGGCCGUAUUCUUUCGCUGUCAGGACGUUAGUCCAUCUGUCGACGAGCAGAUCUUGUUCAGCUUGAAGCUGCUGCUGUUUCUUUUUCAGGCUCCUUGCAGUGGCUAUGAGCUGUAGCUUGAAGCACUCCUGCUCGAGAGGAUCCUCAGGCACGAUGAAAUCAUCGUUGCCGAGGCUUUUCUCCUCCUCGGAGGGUGGAUGAUAGCUAUCGUCCUCCGGGUCAUCUUCUAUGGCCUGUUCAUCAGGGUUAUUCUGCUCGUUGCCGUUUUCCUCCUGUUCGGACAUAGCUCCGAUAUGGUCUUUGUUGUUUUCGGCGUCGCCCGGAGUGCUAUUUUCUCCGGUGCCAGUGUUGCCAUCCUUUGAGCGACGAGGUUUAGAACGGCAUUUGGGGCGCCGGCGCUUGGACUGCGUCUCCGAGGGUUUGUUUUUAUCCGGCUCUUCUUUGUCGUUGCCAGAUCCUUUAGGUGUAUCAACCAUGUACACAUCAUACGAAGAGGUGGCCGUCCAACGUCCAGUAAAUGGCGGGUCUUGGCCUUGCUCCUUGUCGGCAUCGUCGUCCAUACCGUCGAUGUCUUCGGAGCCAUAGUCAAGCACGUCGGUUAAGUCAUCGACGGUGGCUAUGAAGUGGGUGGCGAGUGGGAAGCAAAAUUCCUCGUCGUCCGCCUCUAGCUCGAACCGAACAUAGUUCAGCUGUGAGUCUUCCUCCAAGGACAAUUUCUUCAAAGAGCUUAGUACGCCACCCAAAGGCGAAUGCUGGAAGAUGUCUGCGGCGCUAAAUUUGAAAAUUGAUAACCGAUCCAGCUCGGAGUCCGCAGGCGCAUCUGGUCCGGAACGUAUGGCCGGAUACGAGUCUGGAGUUCCAUUGACGCAAGCAUCGCGGGAUGUCAAGUCCGUGUGCGGCUCCAACGCCGUAGGCUUUGUGGCAUCGGAGGGCAUGGUCUGCUUCGGUUCUGAAGCCGUUGCAGCAACAGGAUCCAUCUCCUGGACGUAGUUCGAUAACAGAUUUAAGUCAUGUUCAUCGGAGCACGGGGAAGCAACUGCCGCGGUCUCGAAUCCAUUGAAGAUCAAGUCUCCACGGGUAUUCGCGACGUAGUUUAGGCUUCCAAAUCUGACCUGGUGGCCAGGGGCGUAGCUGUCGAUCGGCUCCAGACGGCCAAGCGAGUUGGCCCGCAGUACGAAGCCGCCGAACACAAAGAUUUGUCCAGGGAGAAAGGUUUCUCCCUGGACGGCGUUAUUACUGACGAUCGAAGGGGCCAUCGAGUCCUUUCGUCGAUGGCACAGUGGAACUCUCAAUGAAAGCACCAAUGUCGGUGUCAAAACCGGCGGAUCUCGAGUAGGGGGUCCCGAACUGUGCGUCUAGAAUCGAUGGUAACAGGAGACGGGGGACACGAUGUUUACCCAGGUUCAGGCCCUCUCUAUUGAUGUAAUACCCUACUUCCUGCUUGAUUGAUCUUGAUGAAUACGAGUGUUACAAGAGUUGAUCUACCACGAGAUCGUAAUGGCUAAACCCUAGAAGUCUAGCCUAUGAGUACAUGGUAAUGAAUCUGUCCUAUUCGGACUAUGCUCUCCGGUUUAUAUAGACACCGGAGAGAUCUAGGGUUACAUGAGGUCGGUUACAUAAGAGGGGAUCUUCAUAAUUGGUCGCCAAGCUUGCCUUCCACGCCAAGAAGAGUCUAAUCCGGACACGGGUAUAGUCUUCGGUCUUCGUGUCUUCAUAGCCCAUCGGUCCGGCCCAAUGAGUAACAGGCUGGACGCCUGAGGACCCCUUAGUCCAGGACUCCCUCAGCGCCACCCUGAUAGAGGCAUACGUACCGCGCGUACAUAACUACGCACUAAAGAUACCGUGGGCAAAGACGGAGGCACACUAAAAACAAGGUCCACAAUACGGCUCGACCCUACCCGAACCUUCAUAUUUCCCCCUUUUUCUUCUUAUUUUUAUCUUUCAGGUUCUUUACAACCCACAUCACUUUUCAAUGACACCAAGGGCCCUUUUCCAGGCCCCUUAUGUAUACUCGAUCGUUGAUCCUCACAAAGGAUCAUACACCAAGGCGAAAAGCGGCGCAGACGUGCGGUAGAGUGUCCAAAGGAUCUUCAAGAUCAUCUUUUCCUUUUUAGGACGUGUAUACAACUUUCCCUUGUUCUCGGCAUGUAAAAUAGCCUCGAUGCUUUCUGUAAAAAUACGUUUUGACGUACCAAUCAGACUAUAAUGGAAACAGUUUUGCCCAACCUUGUUCGGUAUUGGCUUAUUUCUUAAUCUGUCUUCCCCCUUUACGUUUAAUUGGCAUAUACACCUCGGCAUGACUUAAAUCGCCAGGGGCUCUAUUCAGCCAUAUAUAUUUUCGGAAACAGAAAGUCCGAACACCCUCAGAGUAGACUUCAGCGUCCCGAAUACAUCAUUAUAUGCAUCGGCUCCGAAUCAUGUCUUUGGUCAAUAAUUGGGUUACCCGGCUCCUGUGUUUGCUACCUUACGUUCCGCUUGUUCGGCUAAGGUCGUAAAGGGAGAACUACUGCGAUUGUGUUUCUGGUUCGCCCGGUCAAGCACCUCAGUAGAGAAAGCCGAAAACUGGCCGUCAUAAUACGGUGAGGGCUGGUCAACAAUUCGGCGACUUACUAAAUCUCUAGCGAUUUCUUCCAGUCAGGUGCAUAAGGCAUCCAAGUGCAGAUAGCUGCAUACACACCAGGGGCUAUCUUAUAGUCCCAUUGUCAAACUCCUAUGGCUAAGUGAGAGUGAUAAAGCCGCAUAGUCCGAUUGCCUGGUUCGCCGCACUGACACCUCCUUUACGGACCAAGACGUUGGGUCAAGUGUAGUCAUGUGCUAUUCUAAACACCCCCGUAGUAUCUACGUGGGGGCUGAAGCCGACGACUGGCAAACUCUCAGGGAUAAAAACGGCCGCAUAGGAGGAAAAAUACUUUAAGAUAAAAGGCACAAAUAUAUUACAAAGCUUAAGUUCAUAAUACAAUGCCUGGUCAGGUCAGAUACAUUUACUCGAACAUAAUUUCCUUCGAGCUUUCACCCUCUAUCAAACGGGCACCUUCUAGGACGUCUUAGAAAUAGCGCUCCGGCUUGCGGUGGUCCUCGCCCCUGGCGAGCCCUCGACUGCCACGACGAUGGCCUUCAUUUUCGCCCAGUGCAUCUUGACACGGGCGAAGGCCAGCCGUGCACCUUCUAUACAUGACGACCGCUUGACCCCGUCAAUUCAGGGCAGCGCGUGAUACGUAUCCAUUGUAUCUACUUUUCCAAACACUUUUGCCCUUGUUUUGGACUCUAACUUGCAUGAUUUGAAUGGAACUAACCUGGACUGAUGUUGUUUUCAGCAGAAUUGCCAUGGUGUUAUUUUUGUGCAGAAAUGAAAGUUCUCAGAAUGACCUGAAAAUCAACGAAGAUUAUUUUUGGAAUUUAUAAAAAAUACUGGCAAAAGAAUCAAGGCUAGGGGGCCCACACCCUGUCCAUGAGGGUGGGGGCGUGCCUACACCCCUGGGCGCGCCCCUGCCUCGUGGGCCCCCUGGAGCUCCACCGACCUCAACUCCAACUCUAUAUAUUCACGUUCGGGGAGAAAAAACAAGGAGAAGGAUUCAUCGCGUUUUACUAAACAGAGCCGCCGCCAAGCCCUAAUCUCUCUCGGGAGGGCUGAUCUGGAGUCCGUUUGGGGCUCCGGAGAGGGGAAUCCGUCGCCAUCGUCAUCAUCAACCUUCCUCCAUCACCAAUUUCAUGAUGCUCACCGCCGUGCGUGAGUAAUUCCAUCGUAUGCUUGCUGGACGGUGAUGGGUUGGAUGAGAUUUAUCAUGUAAUCGAGUUAGUUUUGUUAGGGUUUGAUCCGUAGUAUCCACUAUGUUCUGAGAUUGAUGUUGCUGUGACUUUGCUAUUCUUAAUGCUUGUCACUAGAGCCCGAGUGCCAUGAUUUCAGAUCUGAACCUAUUAUGUUUUCAUGAAUAUAUGUGAGUUCUUGAUCCUAUCUUGCAAGUCAUUAGUCACCUACUAUGUGUUAUGAUCCGGCAACCCCGAAGUGAUAAUAAUCGGGACCACUCCCGGUGAUGACCGUAGUUUGAGGAGUUCAUGUAUUCACUAUGUGUUAAUGCGUUGGUCCGGUGCUCUAUUAAAAGGAGGCCUUAAUAUCCCUUAGUUUCCAAUAGGACCCCGCUGCCACGAGAGGGUAGGACAAAAAAUGUCAUACAAGUUCCUUUCCAUAAGCAUGUAUGACUAUAUUCGGAAUACAUGCCUACAUUACAUUGAUGAAUUGGAGCUAGUUCUGUGUCACCCUAUGUUAUAACUGUUGCAUGAAUAAUCGCAUCCGGCAUAAUUCUCCAUCACCGAUCCAAUGUCUACGAGCUUUUCACAUAUUGUUCUUUGCUUAUUUACUUUACCGUUGCUACUGUUACAAUCACUACAAAACUAUCACUGUUACUUUUGUCUACGUUACCGUUACUUCCAUACUACUUUGCUACUAAAUACUUUGCUGCAGAUAUUAAGUUAUCCAGGUGUGGUUGAAUUGACAACUCAACUGCUAAUACUUGAGAAUAUUCUUUGGCUCCCCUUGUCGAAUCAAUAAAUUUGGGUUGAAUACUCUACCCUCGAAAACUGUUGCGAUCCCCUAUACUUGUGGGUUAUCAAGACCAUUUUCUGGCGCCGUUGCCGGGGAGCAUAGCUCUAUUCUUUGAGUUACUUGGGAUUUAUAUCUGCUUGUCACUAUGAGGAACUUGAAAGACGAAAGAACUAAGAUUUUUCCCUCAACUACGAGGGGAGGUAAGGAACUGCCAUCUAGCUCUGCACUUGAUUCACCUUCUGUUUUGAGUAAACUUGUGACACCUAAACCUGCUUCUGCUAUUAGUUCUGAUAUGUCGCAUGUUAUUGAUGAUGCCACUUCUGCUAUGCAUGAUACUUAUGAUGAAACUACUUCUAUGCUUGAUACUACUGUGCCACUUGGUGAAUUUCUUGAUGAACAACUUGCUAGGGCUAGAGAGAAUGAAAUUAUUGAAACUGAUAAUAUUGAUGAAAGUGAUGAUGAAGAUUCUCCCCUAGAUAUGAAUUGCCUGUUGUGCCCGAGGGUUAUGUUAUGGAUGAAGAAACUGCUAGAGACUUUCUUGCUUGCAAUGAUAGAAGUGAUCUUAAGAAAUUAUUAGCUAAGCUGAAAGAAAAAUCUCUGAAUGCUAGAAUGAAAUAUGAUCCUGCUUAUGCUACUUCACCUAUCUUUGUUACUGAUAAAGAUUAUGAAUUCUCUGUUGAUACUGAGAUAAUUACUUUGGUUGAAUCUGAUCCUUUCUAUGGCUAUGAAUCUGAAACUGUUGUGGCACAUCUUACUAAAUUAAAUGAUAUAGCCACCCUGCUCACUAAUGAUGAGAAAACUCGCUACUAUUAUAUCCUUAAAUUAUUUCCGUUCUCAUUAAAGGGUCAUGCUAAGAUAUGGUUUAAUUCUCUUGAUCCUUGUUGUGUGCGUAGUCCCCAGGAUAUGAUUUAUUACUUCUCUGCUAAAUAUUUCCCUGCUCAUAAGAAACAAGCUGCUUUAAGGGAAGUAUAUAAUUUUGUGCAAAACUAAGAAGAGAGUCUCCCACAAGCUUGGGGGAGGACUCUCCAAUUACUUAAUGCUUUGCCUAAUCAUCCUCUCAAGAAAAAUGAAAUACUUGAUAUCUUUUAUAAUGGACUAACCGAUGCUUCCAGAGACCACCUGGAUAGUUGUGCUGGUUGUGUUUUCAGGGAAAGAACUGUUGAUCAAGCUGAAAUUCUAUUGAAUAAUAUGUUGACCAAUGAAAAUAAUUGGACACUUCCUGAACCAACUCCUAAGCCAACUCCGAAGAAAAGGGGUAUUCUAUUUCUCAGUCCUGAAGAUAUGCAAGAGGCGAAGAAAUCUAUGAAAGAAAAAGGUAUAAAAGCUGAAGAUGUUAAGAAUUUACCUCCUGUUGAAGAAAUACAUGGUCUUAAUUCAUCACCUAUUGAAGAAACACAUGGUCUUGAUAAUCCGACAUAGGUAGUAAAGGUAAAUUCUCUUUAUAGAUAUGAUAAAGCUGAAAUCCCUCCUGCUAAGUUUGCUAGCCAAUGUUUGGAUGAAUUUGAUAACUUUAUGGUUAAGCAAGAAGAUUUUAAUGCUUAUUUUGGUAGACAACUGAAACGCAUUGCUUAUAUGAUUGAACACUUGGGUGAUUAUAUGUCUAGAGUUAAGGGUGAACUUAAACUCAUUAGUAAACAUGCUUCUAUGGUUACCACUCAAGUAGAACAAGUGCUUAAAGCUCAGAAUGAUUUGCUCAAUGAAUUGAAUAGUAAGAAUAAUGACUUUGCUGUUAGAGUUGCAACUAGAGGGGGUAAAGUGACUCAGGAACCUUUGUAUCCUGAGGGCCACCCUAAGAGAAUUGAGCAGGAUUCUCAGAGAAAUAACGUUGAUACACCUAGUUCUUCUAAGAGGAAGAAAAAGAAAAAUGAUAGGACUUUGCAUGCUUCUAGUGAACCUGUUGUAGACACACCUGAGAAUCCCAAUGAUAUUUCUAUUUCUGAUGCUGAAACACAAUCUGGUGAUGAACAUGAACCUAGUGGUAAUGUUAAUAAUGAUGUUCAUGUUGAUGCUCAACCUAGCAAUAACAAUGAUGUAGAAAUUGAACCUGCUGUUGAUCUUGAUAACCCACAAUCAAAGAAUCAACGUUAUGAUAAGAGAGACUUCAUUGCUAGGAAGCACGGCAAAGAAAGAGAACCAUGGGUUCAGAAACCCAUGCCUUUUCCUCCUAAACCAUCCAAGAAAAAGGAUGAUGAGGAUUUUGAGCGCUUUGCUGAAAUGAUUAGACCUAUCUUUUUGCGUAUGCAUUUGACUGAUAUGCUUAAAAUGAAUCCUUAUGCUAAGUAUAUGAAGGAUAUUGUUACAAAUAAGAGAAAGAUACCAGAAGAUGAAAUUUCCACCAUGCUUGCUAAUUAUACUUUUAAGGGUGGAAUACCUAAGAAACUUGGAGAUCCAGGAGUACCAACUAUACCAUGCUCCAUUAAAAGAAACUAUGUUAGAACUGCUUUAUGUGAUCUUGGAGCCAGUGUUAGUGUUAUGCCUCUCUCUUUAUAUCGUAGAAUUGAUUUGAAUAAGUUGACACCUACUGAAAUAUCUUUGCAAAUGGCUGAUAAAUCAACUGCUAUACCUGUCGGUAUUUGUGAGGAUGUGCCUGUUGUGGUUGCAAACGUUACUAUUUUAACGGACUUUGUUAUUCUUGAUAUUCCCGAGGACGAUAGUAUGUCUAUUAUUCUUGGAAGACCCUUUUUGAAUACUGUAGGGGUUGUUAUUGAUUGCAAUAAAGGCAACGUCACUUUUCAUGUUAAUGGAAAUCAGCAUAUGGUACACUUUUCGAGGAAACAACCUCAAGUUCACAAUUUCAAUUCUAUUGGAAAAAUUUCAUCGAUUAUUAUUGGAGGUUUUGAAUUUCCUCUACCUACUGUCAAGAAGAGAUAUGAUAUUCUUAUUGUUGGGGAUGUGCAUAUCCCCGUUGAGGUAACAUAGUGUUAUUCGAAAUUUAUCCGGUUCCAUAUUAUUCGGAAUGAGUUUGUUAACAAGACUUGAUCAACCUUGUUAGUAGAUUCCUUUUGAUGAGCAUGAGAUGGAUGAAGUUAGAAAGCACAACCUUCUGUACCCUCCUUUUACAUUCUGUUAUUUAGAUUAAAUAAAGAAAAAAUAGUAUUUUCUGUCAGUUUUCUGAAUUAUCCGUGCAAUAAAAAAUACCCCAAAAAUAAAAGUUCUCCAAAUGCCCUGAAAAUGAAAUAUGAUUUUUUCUAGAAUAUUUGAGAAUAUCUGGCACUGAGAACACAUCAGGGGAGCAAGCCACGAGGGUCUAGGGCGCGCCCACCCCCUGGGCGCGCCCCCUGCCUCGUGGGCCCAUGGUGGCUCCCCUCCACUUAUUCCAGCCACCACACACUCCUUCUUCCUCCCCAAAAAAAAUCACCAACCAGCUCAAGCACGAGUUCUAGCUCAUCUUGCUGCUAUUUUCGAUCUCCUUGCUCAAAGCUCCACUCACAAAACUGCUUUGGGGGAUUGUUCUUCGGUAUGUGACUCCUCCAAUGGUCCAAUUAGUUUUUGUUCUAGUGCUUUAUUCAUUGCAAAUUUUUGCUGCUUAGCUGACCCUGUUCUUGAGCUUGCAUGUCAAAUUUAUUUGGUUCCAAGUAGUUCUAAUGCAUGAUAUAGCAUCUAGGCACUUGUGGGAGUAGUUACUAUCAAUUUUGUUGAGUUUGGUUCACUUUUAUUUGAAGUUACUAAAAAUUUCAGAAAAUGAUGAAGAGAUUUUUGAGGGGUUCUUCGAGCCGAGGCUCGAAGGAUAAGCAAAGUGAAGAAGACGAGAGGCCCAAAUAUAAUCUCCCUCGCACCAUGGAGGUUCGGCCGUGUGAAUGGCCUUGUGAUGAUUUCUUGAGAGCAGCCGGGAUUUAUGAUGAUUUUUAUGAGUUGGCUGAGAAUGCAGGCCUCACUGACUUCCUUUGCGACCAACGCGAACAGUAUCUCCUACUCACUAAUAUUUUUGUGCAAAAUUUUCAUUUCCAUGCUAGGAGGUCACCACCUUCGGUUGAUUUCUAUUUAUAUGAUGAGUAUAAGGAGAUGUCCCUCUAUGAAUUUUGUGAGGUCUGCAAGUUGCCCUUUUCGGGCAGCGUAGAGGAACCACAUCGUAACGAUGUGGAGGGGUUUAUUGAUACAAUUACUGUAGGGGAAACGAGGAAGGUUUCCGAUGCAAGAAUUACUAGCAUACAUUUUCCUGUUCUACGUUACUUUGCAAUUUUUGCUAGUAGAUGCUUAAUUGGUCGCGGAAACUGUGGCAACCUUAGUGCCCCUGAUAUUGUUAUUUUGUGCCAUGCCUUGUUCCGUGAUGACACAUUUAGUAUGGGCGCUAUUGUUGCAAAGCGGUUAAAUCUUAACCAUACGAAGGGCCCCAUCUUGGGAGGUAUCUUUGCCUCGCGCCUCGCUGCACAUUUUAACAUGCCUAUUAGGCAUUAUGAGAAAGAAGAAAAGUUGCUGCCUCCUGUUUUCUAGACUAUAAGAGUAUGGUAGCACAUGAUUUUAUUGUUAAUAAUAAAGAAAAGAUGCUUAAGUACAAGCUGAUAUUUGAUAAAAAUCACCCUGAGACUAUCACUUUGCCUGCUCCUUCCUUGUUUGACUUAUCUCCAGGCAAGUACCUUGUUCUGCCGGAGGCCAUUCACGCCUACCGAAACCCCACACCAGCUACAGAGCCAGAGCCAGAACCACAAUUUGUUCCUUCAUGACAGUGUGUUUACCAGUGGGAUCCGGAGGAGAUUGCCAACCAAUGGCAACCCGAGGCUCCUUCUUAGUACGACCCCAACUACAACUUUGGAUAUCCGCCAGGUCAGCCGUGGCCAUAGACCAACUUAGGCCAAAAGCCUAAGCUUGGGGGAGUACGUAUUUCUCACUGACAUUACAUUCAUGUUCACACACUCAUUCUAGUUGUCGGUGCUCACACUUUUUCACUGUACUAUCCAUGCUAGUUUAUUUUCCUUUUUAUGCUUUCUUCUUGUGUGUUUGAUAAACCUUAAGAAAAACCAAAAAAAUUAGUUGUAGCUUUUAGCUAGUUUACUUUCCAUGCUUGUAUUAGUAAUAAUUAAAAAAGAAAACCCAAAAAGAUUUCUCGUUCUUCUUUUGCUUGUUGGGAGCUUUCCCGUGUAAAUAGUUUUAUUUCUUUUCUUUUCUUUGGGGGUCGAGAGGAGAAGACCAUAAUGAAAAUGUUGGAGUGGCUCUUAUAUGCAUUAUUGUUGAUUUAACAAAGAGCCCAUAUUAUCUCGUCUUCUCCUGUGUGUCAGAUGCUUGCAGAUUCCAGCUUAGUCCAAUGCACGUGCACUAUUAUUAUUAUUCAUAUCGUUCGGUCGUGCAAGUGAAAGGCAAUAAUGACGAUAUAUGAUGGACUGGUUGAGAUAAGAAAAGCUGGUAUGAACUCAACCUCUCUUGUUUUGUAAAUAUGAUUAGUUCCUCGUUCCUGAUUCAGCCUAUUAUGAAUAAACAUGUUUACAAUGACAAUUAGAGAUUAUAGUUGCUUAUGCCAUGCUUAAUCAGCUAGGAGUUUAUAAUGGUUUACCUUGCGUGCCAACAUGCUAUUAGAAUGGUUGUGAUGUGGUAUGAUGGGGUGGUAUCCUCCUUUGAAUGAUUCAAGUGACUUGAUUGGCACAUGUUCACACAUGUAGUUGAAACAAAUCAACAUAGCCUUCACGAUAUUUAUGUUCAUGGUGGAUUAUAUCCUACUCAUGCUUGCACUCAAUGUUUAUUAAUUUUAAUGCAUGUUCAUGACUGUUGUCGCUCUCUAGUUGGUCGCUUCCCAGUCUUUUUCUAGCCUUCACUUGUACUAAGCGGGAAUGCUGCUUGUGCAUCCACUUCCAUAAACCCCAAAGUUAUUCCAUAUGAGUCCACUAUACCUUACUAUAUGCGGUAUCUACUUGCCGUUCCAAGUAAAUUUGUAUGUGCCAAACUCUAAACCUUCAAACGAAAUUCUGUUUUGCAUGCUCGAAUAGCUCAUGUAUCAACUAGGGCUGUCUGUAUCUUCCAUGCUAGGCGGGUUAUUCUCAAUAGGAGUGGACUCCGCUCCUCACUCACGAGAAAUUGGCUGGUCACCGGGAUGCCCAGUCCCAUGCUUUAUGCAAAUAAAAUCGAAAUAAUUGCAAACAAAACCCCCCGGGACUCUUGUUAGUUGGAGGCACUUGUUGUUUCGAGCAAGCCACGGAUUGAUGCUUGUUGGUGGAGGGGGAGUAUAAACUUUACCAUUCUGUUUGGGAACCGCCUAUAAUGUGUGUAGCAUGGAAGAUAUCGAGAUCUCUCAGUUGUUAUGUUGACAAUGAAAGUAUGCCACUCAAAAUAUUAUUCGUCUCUGCUUUAAAAUCGAGCUCUGGCACCUCUACAAAUCCCUGCUUCCCUCUGUGAAGGGCCUAUCUAUUUACUUUUAUGCUGAGUCAUCACCCUCUUAUUAAAAAGCACCAGCUGGAGAGCACCGCUGUCAUUUGCAUUCAUUUCUAUUAAUUUAUAUUGGGUAUGACUGGAUCUCUUUUACCAUGAAUUACAAUGUUUAGUCAGUCCUUGAUCUUUAAAGGUGCUCUGCAUUUAUGUUUUGCGGUCUCAUAAAGGGCUAGCGAGAUACCAUCUUGUUAUAUCAUAUCAUGAUUGUUUUGAGAAAGUGUUGUCAUCCGAGAUUUAUUAUUAUUGCUCGCUAGUUGAUUAUGCCAUUGACAUGAGUAAACAUGAGACCUAAGUGUUGUUGUGAAUAUGGUUAGUUCAUAAUCUUUGCUGAAAACUUGAAUGCUGGCUUUACAUAUUUACAACAACAAUAGCAAACAGAGUUUGUAAAAGUUUUUCUUUAUCACUUUCAGUUUAUCAACUGAAUUGCUUGAGGACAAGCAAAGGUUUAAGCUUGGGGGAGUUGAUACGUCUCCAUCGUAUCUACUUUUACAAACACUUUUGCCCUUGUUUUGGACUCUAACUUGCAUGAUUUGAAUGGAACUAACCCGGACUGGCGCUGUUUUCAGCAGAAUUGCCAUGGUGUUAUUUUUGUGCAGAAAUAAAAGUUCUCGGAACGACUUGAAAAUCAACAGAGAUUAUUUUUGGAAUUAAUAAAAAAUACUGGCGAAAGAAUCAAGGCCAGGGGGCCCACACCCUGUCCACGAGGGCGGGGGGCGCGCCUACCCCCUGGGCACGCCCCCCUGCCUCGUGGGCACCCUGGAGCUCCACCGAUCUCAACUCCUACUCUAUAUAUUCAUGUUCGGGGAGAAAAAAAUCAGGGAGAAGGAUUCAUCAUGUUUUACGGUACAGAGCCACCGCCAAGCCCCAAUCUCUCUCGAGAUGGCUGAUGUGGAGUCCGUUCGGGGCUCCGGAGAGGGGAAUCCGUCGCCAUUAUCAUCAUCAACCUUCCUCCAUCACCAAUUUCAUGAUGCUCACCAUCGUGCGUGAGUAAUUCCAUCGUAGGCUUGCUGGACGGUGAUGGGUUGGAUGAGAUUUAUCAUGUAAUCGAGUUAGUUUUGUUAGGGUUUGAUCCCUAGUAUCCACUAUGUUCUGAGAUUGAUGUUUCUAUGACUUUGCUAUGCUUAAUGCUUGUCACUAGGGCCCGAGUGCCAUGAUUUCAGAUCUGAACCUAUUAUGUUUUCAUGAAUAUAUGUGAGUUCUUGAUCCUAUCUUGCAAGUCAUUAGUCACCUACUAUGUGUUAUGAUCCGGCAACCCCGAAGUGACAAUAAUCGGGACCACUCCCGGUGAUGUCCGUAGUUUGAGGAGUUCAUGUAUUCACUAUGUGUUAAUGCUUUGGUCCGGUACUCUAUUAAAAGGAGGCCUUAAUAUCCCUUAGUUUCCAAUAGGACCCCACUGCCACGGGAGGGUAGGACAAAAGAUGUCAUACAAGUUCUUUUCCAUAAGCACGUAUGACUAUAUUCGGAAUACAUGCCUACAUUACAUUGAUGAAUUGGAGCUAGUUCUGUGUCACCCUAUGUUAUAAUUGUUGCAUGAAUAAUCGCAUCCGGCAUAAUUCUCCAUCACCGAUCCAAUGCCUAUGAGCUUUUCACAUAUUGUUCUUCGCUUAUUUACUUUACCGUUGCUACUGUUACAAUCACUACAAAACUAUCAUUGUUACUUUUGUCACCGUUACCGUUACUUCCAUACUACUUUGCUACUAAAUACUUUGCUACAGAUAUUAAGUUAUCCAGGUGUGGUUGAAUUGAAAACUCAACUGCUAAUACUUGAGAAUAUUCUUUGGCUCCCCUUGUGUUGAAUCAAUAAAUUUGGAUUGAAUACUCUACCCUCGAAAACUGUUGCGAUCCCCUAUACUUGUGGGUUAUCAGCGUGUUGAUGAGUCGCUGCACCAGGCCAAAAUAGCUGCUUGGGAUGGGUUCGGCUGGCCACAGCCGGACUAUGACGUCCCUCAUGGCCAAUCCGGACAUCCUAUGCAGCUCGGCCCACUGCGUCAUUGCUACCUCUUGAGCACUGCGUUGGUUUUCCCUUGAAGAGGAAAGGGUGAUGCAGCAAAGUAGCGUAAGUAUUUCCCUCAGUUUUUAAGAACCAAGGUAUCAAUCCAGUAGGAGGCCACGCACGAGUCCCUCGCACCUACACAAACAAAUAAAUCCUCGCAACCAACGCGAUAAGGGGUUGUCAAUCCCUACACGGUCACUUACGAGAGUGAGAUCUGAUAGAUAUGAUAAGAUAAUAUUUUUGGUAUUUUUAUGAUAAAGAUGCAAAGUAAAGAAAGUAAAAUAAAAAGGGCAAUGGAAAUAGCUUGUUGUCGGGAGAUUAAUAUGAUGGAAAAUAGACCCGGGGGCCAUAGGUUUCACUAGUGGCUUCUCUCAAGAGCAUAAGUAUUUUACGGUGGGUGAACAAAUUACUGUUGAGCAAUUGACAGAAUUGAGCAUAGUUAUGAGAAUAUCUAGGUAUGAUCAUGUAUAUAGGCAUCACGUCCGAGACAAGUAGACCGACUCCUGCGUGCAUCUACUACUAUUACUCCACACAUCGACCGCUAUCCAGCAUGCAUCUAGAGUAUUAAGUUCAUAAGAACAGAGUAAUGCUUUAAGCAAGAUGACAUGAUGUAGAGGGAUAAACUCAUGCAAUAUGAUAUAAACCCCAUCUUGUUAUCCUCGAUGGCAACAAUACAAUACGUGCCUUGCUGCCCCUACUGUCACUGGGAAAAGACACCGCAAGAUUGAACCCAAAGCUAAGCGCUUCUCCCAUUGCAAGAAAGAUCACUCUAGUAGGCCAAACCAAACUGAUAAUUUGAAGAGACUUGCAAAGAUAACCAAUCAUACAUAAAAGAAUUCAGAAUAUUCAAAUAUUGUUCAUAGAUAAACUUGAUCAUAAACCCACAAUUCAUCGGUCUCAACAAACACACUGCAAAAGAAGAUUACAUCGAAUAGAUCUCCACAAGAGAGGGGGAGAACAUUGUAUUGAGAUCCAAAAAGAGAGAAGAGGCCAUCUAGCUAAUAACUAUGGACCCGAAGGUCUGAGGUAAACUACUCACACAUCAUUGGAGAGGCUAUGGUGUUGAUGUAGAAGCCCUCCGUGAUCGAUGCCCCCUCCGGCGGAGCUCCGGAACAGGCCCCAAGAUGGGAUCUCAUGGGUACAGAAGGUUGCGGCGGUGGAAUUAGGUUUUUGGCUCCGUAUCUGGUAGUUUGGGGGUACGUAGGAAUAUAUAGGAGGAAGGAGUACGUCGGUGGAGCAACAGGGGGCCCACGAGGGUGGAGGGCGCGCCCAAGGGGUAGGCGCGCCCCCCUACCUCGUGGCCUCCUGGUUGAUGCCUUGACGUAGGGUCCAAGUCCUAUGGAUCACGUUCGUUCCGAAAAUCACGUUCCCGAAGGUUUCAUUCCGUUUGGACUCCGUUUGAUAUUCUUUUUCUGCGAAACUCUGAAAUAGGCAAAAAACAACAAUUCUGGGCUGGGCCUCCGGUUAAUAGGUUAGUCCCAAAAAUAAUAUAAAAGUGUAUAAUAAAGCCCAAUAAUGUCCAAAACAGAAUAUAAUAUAGCAUGGAACAAUAAAAAAUUAUAGAUACUUUGGAGACGUAUCAAGCAUCCCCAAGCUUAAUUCCUGCUCGUCCUCGAGUAGGUAAAUGAUAAAAACAGAAUUUUUGAUGUGUAAUGCUACUUGGCAUAAUUUCAAUGUAAUUCUUCUUAAUUGUGGUAUGAAUAUUCAGAUCCGAAAGAUUCAAGACAAAAGUUUAAUAUUGACAUAGAAAUAAUAAUACUUCAAGCAUACUAACUAAGCAAUUAUGUCUUCUCAAAAUAACAUGGCCAAAGAAAGUUAUCCCUACAAAAUCAUAUAGUCUGGCUAUGCUCUAUCUUCACCACACAAAAUAUUUAAAUCAUGCACAACCCCGAUGAAAAGCCAAGCAAUUGUUUCAUACUUUUGACAUUCUCAAACUUUUUCAAUCUUCACGCAAUACAUGAGCGUGAGCCAUGGACUUAGCACUAUAUGUGGAAUAGGAUGGUGGUUGUGGAGAAGACAAAAAAAAGAGAAGAUAGUCUCACAUCAACUAGGCGUAUCAACGGGCUAUGGAGAUGGCCAUCAAUAGAUAUCAAUGUGAGUGAGUAGGGAUUUCCAUGCAACGGAUGCACUAGAGCUAUAAGUAUAUGAAAGCUCAACAAAAGAAACUAAGUGGGUGUGCAUCCAACUCGCUUGCUCACGAAGACCUAGGGCAUUUUUGAGGAAGCCCAUCAUUGGAAUAUACAAGCCAAGUUCUAUAAUGAAAAAUUCCCACUAGUAUAUGAAAGUGAUAUCAUAAGAGACUCUCUAUCAUGAAGAUCAUGGUGCUACUUUGAAGCACAAGUGUGGUAAAAGGAUAGUAACAUUGUCCCUUCUCUCUUUUUCUCUCAUUUUUUUAUUUGGGCCUUUUUUCUCUCUUUUUUAUGGCCUCUUUUUAUUUUAUUUUUUAGUCCGGAGUCUCAUCCCGACUUGUGGGGGAAUCAUAGUCUCCAUCAUCCUUUCCUCACUUGGGACAAUGCUCUAAAAAUGAUGAUCAUCACACUUUUAUUUUCUUACAACUCAACAAUUACAACUCAAUACUUAGAACAAAAUAUGACUCUAUGUGAAUGCCUCCGGCGGUGUACAGGGAUAUGCAAUGAAUCAAGAGUGACAUGUAUGAAAGAAUUAUAAACGGUGGCUUUGCCACAAAUACGAUGUCAACUACAUGAUCAUGCGAAGCAAUAUGACAAUGAUGGAGCGUGUCAUAAUAAACAGAACGGUGGUAAGUUGCAUGGAAAUAUAUCUCGGAAUGGCUAUGGAAAUGCCAUGAUAGGUAGGUAUGGUGGCUGUUUCGAGGAAGGUAUAUGGUGGGUGUAUGAUACCGGUGAAAGGUGUGCGGUAUUAGAGAGGCUAGCAAUGGUGGAAGGAGGAAAAGUGCGUAUAAUCCAUGGACUCAACAUUAGUCAUAAAGAACUCAUACACUUAUUGCAAAAAUCUACAAGUUAUCAAAGCAAAGUAUUAUGCGCAUGCUCCUAGGGGGAUAGAUUGGUAGGAAAAGACCAUCGCUCGUCCCCAACCGCCACUCAUAAGGAAGACAAUCAAUAAAUAAAUCAUGCUCCGACUUCAUCACAUAACGGUUCACCUUACGUGCAUGCUACGGGAAUCACAAACUUUAACACAAGUAUUUCUCAAAUUCACAACCACUCAACUAGCAUGACUCUAAUAUCAUCAUCUCCAUAUCUCAAAACAAUUAUCAAGCAUCAAACUUCUCAUAGUAUUCAACACACUCAUAAGAAUUUUUCUUUUUCUCUUUACUAAUCUUGAAUGCCUAUUAUUGUUAAAGCAAACUACCAUGCUGUUUUGUAGGACUCUCAAAAUAAUCUAAUUGAAGCAUGAGAGAACAAUAGUUUCUAUAAAACAAAGUCACCACCGUGCUCUAAAAGAUAUAAGUGAAGCACUAGAGCAAAAACUAUAUAACUCAAAAGAUAUAAGUGAAGCACAUAGAGUAUUCUAAUAAUUUCCGAAUCAUGUGUGUCUCUCUCAAAAGGUGUGUACAACAAGGAUGAUUGUGGUAAACUAAAAAGCAAAGACUCAAAUAUAAAAGACGCUCCAAGCAAAACACAUAUCAUGUGGUGAAUAAAAAUAUAGCUCCAAGUAAAGUUACCGAUGGAAGUAGACGAAAGAGGGGAUGCCUUCCGGGGCAUCCCCAAGCUUUGGCUUUUAGGUGUCCUUAGAUUAUCUUGGGGUGCCAUGGGCAUCCCCAAGCUUAGGCUCUUGCCACUCCUUGUUCCAUAAUCCAUCAAAUCUUUCACCCAAAACUUGAAAACUUCACAACACAAAACUUAACAGAAAAUCUCGUGAGCUCUGUUAGCGAAAGAAAACAUAAGACCACUUCAAGGUACUGUAAUGAACUCAUUCUUUAUUUAUAUUGGUGUUAAACCUACUGUAUUCCAAUAUCUCUAUGGUUUAUAAACUAUUUUACUAGCCAUAGAUGCAUCAAAAUAAGCAAACAACACACGAAAAACAGAAUCUAUGAAAAACAGAACAGUCUGUAGUAAUCUGUAACUAACGCAAACUUCUGGAACUCCAAAAUAUCAUCCAAAAUAGGACGACCUAGACAAUUUGUUUAUUGAUCAGCAGCAAUUGGAAUCAAUAUUUUAUCACGUUCUGAUGAUUUUUAACAAUUGUUUUCGUGAACAGAAAGUUUCUGGAAUUUACAGCAAGAUCAAAUAAUUAUCAUCCAAGAAGAUCCUAUAGGUUUAACUUGGCACAAACACUAAUUAAAACAUAAAAAGACAUCUAACCAGAGGCUAGAUCAAAGAUUUAUUCCUAAACAGAAGCAAAAAGCAAAAAACUAAAAAUAAAAUUGGGUUGCCUCCCAACAAGCGCUAUCAUUUAACGCCCCUAGCUAGGCAUAAAAGCAAGGAUAGAUCUAGGUAUUGCCAUCUUUGGUAGGCAAUCCAUAAGUGGCUCUCAUAAUAGAUUCAUAAUGUAGUUUUAUUUUCUUUCUAGGGAAGUGUUCCAUGCCUUUCCUUAACGGAAAUUGGAAUCUAAUAUUCCCUUCCUUCAUAUCAAUAAUUGCACCAAUCGUUCUAAGGAAAGGUCUACCAAUAAUAAUAGGACAUGAAGGAUUGCAAUCUAUAUCAAGAACAAUAAAAUUGACGGGCACAUAAUUCCUAUUUGCAACAAUAAGAACAUCAUUAAUUCUUCCCAUAGGUUUCUUAAUAGUGGAAUCUGCAAGGUGCAAGUUUAGGGAGCAAUCAUCAAAAUCACAGAAACCUAAUAAAUCACAUAAAGUUUUUGGAAUCGUGGAAACACUAGCACCCAAAUCACACAAAACAUAGCAUUCAUGAUCUUUAAUUCUAAUUUUAAUAGUAGGUUCCCACUCAUCAUAAAGUUUUCUAGGGAUAGAAACUUCCAACUCAAGUUUUUCUUCAUAAGAUUGCAUCAAAGCAUUAACGAUAUGUUUAGUAAAAGCUUUAUUUUGACUAUAAGCAUGAGGAGAAUUUAGCACGGAUUGCAACAAAGAAAUACAAUCUAUCAAAGAACAAUUGUCAUAAUUAAAUUCCUUGAAAUCCAAAAUAGUGGGUUCAUUAAUAUCUAAUGUUUUGAUCUCUUCAAUCCCACUUUUAUCAAUUUUAGCAUCAAGAUCUAAAAACUCCGAAAUUUUGGAACGCCUUCUAGGUAAGGGUGGAUCAUAUUCAGUCCCAUCAUUAUCAAGAUUCAUAUUAAAAAACAAAGAUUUAAUAGGGGACACAUCAAUAACUUUUAGAUCUUCAUCUUUAUUUUCAUCAAAAAUUGAAGAACACGCUUUCACAAAGCAAUCUUUCUUAGCGCGCAUCCUAGCGGUCCUUUCUUUGCACUCAUCAAUGGAAAUUCUCAUGGAUUUGAGAGACUCAUUGAUAUCGUGCUUAGGAGGAAUAGAUCUAAGCUUUAAAGAAUCAACAUCAAGAGAAAUUCUAUCAAAGUUCCUAGCCAAUUCAUCCACUUUAAGCAAUUUUUCUUCAAGCAAAGCAUUGAAAUUCUUUUGCGAAUUCAUAAAUUCCUUAACACUAGUCUCAAAUUCAGAAGGCAUCUUAUUAAAGUUUCCAUAAGAAUUGUUGUAGGAAUUACCAUAAUUAUUAGAGGAAUUACUAGGAUAAGGCCUAGGAUUGAAGUUUCCUCUAUACGCGUUGUUACCAAAAUUAUUCCUACAACCAAAAUUCACAUACAUAGAUUCAUUAUUAUUCUCAAUCAAAGUAGACAAAGGCAUAUCAUUGGGAUCAGAAGAAACACUCUUAUUAGCAAAUAAUUUCAUAAGUUCAUCCAUCUUUCCACUCAAAACAUUAAUAUCUUCUAUCGCAUGCACUUUUUUAUUAGUAGAUCUUUCAGUGUGCCAUUGAGAAUAAUUAACCAUAAUAUUAUCUAGGAGUUUAGUAGCUUCUCCUAAAGUGAUUUCCAUAAAAGUGCCUCCCGCGGCCGAAUCUAAAAGGUUUCUAGAAGCAAAAUUCAAUCCGGCAUAAUUUUUUUGUAUAAUCAUCCACAAAUUCAAACCAUGCGUAGGGCAAUUACGUAUCAUUAAUUUCAUCCUCUCCCAAGCUUGUGCAACAUGUUCAUGAUCAAGUUGCUUAAAAAUCAUAAUAUCGUUUCUAAGGGAGAUGAUCUUAGCGGGAGGAAAAUACUUAGAGAUAAAAGCAUCUUUGCACUUAUUCCAAGAAUCAAUACUAUUUUUAGGCAAAGACAAAAACCAAGCUUUAGCAUGAUCUCUAAGAGAAAAAGGAAAUAGCUUCAAUUUAACAAUAUCAUUAUCCACAUCUUUCUUCUUUUGCAUAUCACACAAAUCAACGGAGCUAUUUAGAUGGGUAGCGGCAUCUUCACUAGGAAGGUCGGCGAAUUGAUCUUUCAUGACAAGAUUCAAUAAAGCAGCAUUGAUUUCACAAGAUUCAGUAUUGGUAAGAGGAGCAAUCGGAGUGCUAAGGAAAUCAUUGUUGUUGGUAUUGGUAAAGUCACACAAUUUGGUAUUAUCUUGAGCCAUCGUGACAAGCAAGCAAUCCAACACACGAGCAACCAAGAGACGGGCAAAAAGAGGCAAACGGAAAAGAGAGAGGGCGAAUAAAACGGCAAGGGUGAAGUGGGGGAGAGGAAAACGAGAGGCAAAUGGCAAAUAAUGUAAUGCGGGAGAUAAGGGUUUGUGAUGGGUACUUGGUAUGUUGACUUUUGCGUAGACUCCCUGGCAACGGCACCAGAAAUGGCUUGUUGUCGGGAGUCCAAAUCUUGACUUGACCUUGCGUAAGCCUCCCCGGCAAUGGCUCCACAAAUCCUUCUUGCUACCUCUUGAGCACUGCGUUGGUUUUCCCUUGAAGAGGAAAGGGUGAUGCAGCAAAGUAGCGUAAGUAUUUCCCUCAGUUUUUGAGAACCAAGGUAUCAAUCCAGUAGGAGGCCACGCACGAGUCCCUCGCACCUACACAAACAAAUAAAUCCUCGCGACCAACACGAUAAGGGGUUGUCAAUCCCUACACGGUCACUUACGAGAGUGAGAUCUGAUAGAUAUGAUAAGAUAAUAUUUUUGGUAUUUUUAUGAUAAAGAUGCAAAGUAAAGAAAGUAAAAUAAAAACGGCAAUGGAAAUAGCUUGUUGUCGGGAGAUUAAUAUGAUGGAAAAUAGACCCGGGGGCCAUAGGUUUCACUAGUGGCUUCUCUCAAGAGCAUAAGUAUUUUACGGUGGGUGAACAAAUUACUGUUGAGCAGUUGACAGAAUUGAGCAUAGUUAUGAGAACAUCUAGGUAUGAUCAUGUAUAUAGGCAUCACGUCCGAGACAAGUAGACCGACUCCUGCCUGCAUCUACUACUAUUACUCCACACAUCGACCGCUAUCCAGCAUGCAUCUAGAGUAUUAAGUUCAUAAGAACAGAGUAACGCUUUAAGCAAGAUGACAUGAUGUAGAGGGAUAAACUCAUGCAAUAUGAUAUAAACCCCAUCUUGUUAUCCUCGAUGGCAACAAUACAAUACGUGCCUUGCUGCCCCUACUGUCACUGGGAAAGGACACCGCAAGAUUGAACCCAAAGCUAAGCACUUCUCCCAUUGCAAGAAAGAUCAAUCUAGUAGGCCAAACCAAACUGAUAAUUUGAAGAGACUUGCAAAGAUAACCAAUCAUACAUAAAAGAAUUCAGAAGAUUCAAAUAUUGUUCAUAGAUAAACUUGAUCAUAAGCCCACAAUUCAUCGGUCUCAACAAACACACUGCAAAAGAAGAUUACAUCGAAUAGAUCUCCACAAGAGAGGGGGAGAACAUUGUAUUGAGAUACAAAAAGAGAGAAGACGCCAUCUAGCUAAUAACUAUGGACCCGACGGUCUGAGGUAAACUACUCACACAUCAUUGGAGAGGCUAUGGUGUUGAUGUAGAAGCCCUCCGUGAUCGAUGGCCCCUCCGGCGGAGCUCCGGAACAGGCCCCAAGAUGGGGUCUCACGGGUACAGAAGGUUGCGGCGGUGGAAUUAGGUUUUUGGCUCCGUAUCUGGUAGUUUGGGGGUACGCAGGUAUAUAUAGGAGGAAGGAGUACGUCGGUGGAGCAACAGGGGGCCCACGAGGGUGGAGGGCGCGCCUAGGGCGGUAGGCGCCCCCCUACCUCGUGGCCUCCUGGUUGAUGCCUUGACAUAGGGUCCAAGUCCUCUGGAUCACGUUAGUUCCGAAAAUCACAUUCCCGAAGGUUUCAUUCCAUUUGGACUCCAUUUGAUAUUCUUUUUCUGCGAAACUCUGAAAUAGGCAAAAAACAGCAAUUCUGGGCUGGGCCUCCGGUUAAUAGGUUAGUCCCAAAAAUAAUAUAAAAGUGUAUAAUAAAGCCCAAUAAUGUCCAAAACAGAAUAUAAUAUAGCAUGGAACAAUCAAAAAUGAUUGAUACGUUGGAGAAGUAUCAGUCAUCUGGUCAUUCAGCAGCGCUGGGCGCUGCUGCGCUGCGAACUGUGACCAGAAUAGCUUCUCCGUCGUGUGCUCUUCCUGGGCCCGAAAGAAAUGCGCAGCGUCAGCGGCACUCUUCGGAAGAUUCGCAAAGGUGUCUGGAGCACUCCACAAUCGAGUGAGCAACGCAUACUUCUGAUUGUCGAAUUUAGUGUCUAAAAGAAAGGGCUUACCAGCCGCUAUCUGUUCGGCUUGCCGGAUCUCCUCGCGAGCUGCUCGGGAUUCGGUCCGCGCCGCCUUGGCCUCUUGAAGGGUCUUGUCGAGAUCAGUUGCCUGGGCUUUAUUCUUCUCCUCUAGGGACUCGCACUUGCUGGCGGCGUCCUUAAGUGCCUGCUCCACUUCGGUCACCCGCUCCUCGUACUGACGGCGGACGACCUGUUCGGAGUUCAAGUCCGCGGCCGCUUUGUUCAUCCUUGCCUGCUCCUUGGCUUGGGCAAGUUCACCCCUGAGAGUCUCGACCGUAGCAGCACUGCCUGCAACCAUACACAUAGCAACGCCUGAGCUUCGACUCAGAGUAUGCACAUCAAUACAUGCAUGAACGAGAUAUUCGAAACAUACCUUGCGCUUCAUCAAACCUCUUGUUGAUGCGGAAGAGAUCCUCAUCGGCCAGCCCCAGCUUCCGCUUGAGCUCGGAUACUUCGGCGGCCUGGGCGGUUGCCGCUAACAGUGAAGCAUGUUUGUCAAAACAGAAAGGUACAUUAUCCCCUGCGAAUAUUAUCGAUCCUCUGUCCGGCCUUUUUUUCAAAAUCCGAACAGAGUCUCAGGGACUACUAUCUAUAUACAGGCAUAUUUUUAUAUGAAAAGUGGCCAAGAAUAUUACAUCACCUACCUCGAAGCCUGUUAGCAGGCUAGUGAAGGCUUCGUUCAGCCCGCUCUUGGCAGACCGAACCUUCUCAACCACCACACCCAUCAGGGUGCGGUGCUCCUCCAAGAUGGAAGCACAUUGCAGUGCCUCCAUCAGUGUGUUCGGCGCCUCCGGAUUAGUGGAGGUCGCCGCUGGAGUUGGCGCUCCCCCUCCCUUAAGGGGGUCGCUUAUUCGGUUCCGGAGCCACUUGGGUUUCCGGAACAGAGUUCGGCUGGGGGCCGAACUGGUCAAGACCCCCACUGUCAGUCUCCAUGGGGAUUGCAUCCCCCAUGUUCUCGGCAGUCGAGGCAUUACCCUCCGGCGCUAUUUUGGCGGCCUCCCGUACCGCUCCGUGGCCCGGAGAAGCCCUUCGGGACAACACUUCGGUGUCGUCCGCGGCGGUUGGCGGGGAGGUUCGCGGAGGCGAUUCGCUCUCCAUCAUCCCCAGAUCCAAAGAAUUCCCCUCCGAUAAUGAUUGUUGGGGGAGAUCGCGGGCCGGACUACACCAUGCAAUGCGUUAAUACCAUAAUCAUAAAGGCCGAACUUAUGUAAGGCAUCCUCGGAUACUUACGAUGCGGCGAGGGGAUUCGACCUGGGGCGCCACUCUGGGAUGGCUUCGACGUCCAAAUCUGAGUACCUUUGCGGCGGAGGCCAUCUUUGGCCUCCUUGUUCUUCUUCUUGGCCUUUUUCUCCGGCGCCUGAUAGGGCGCCGGGACCAGCAUCCUCAUUAGAAGAGGAUCAACUGGGUUUUCGGGCAGUGGAGCUGGACAUCUAAUCCGCUCCGCCUUCUUUGUCCAGCCCUGUUUAAAGGAUGGAAUUCUCAAUACACUCCUUUGAUUGAUAAACUAAGCUAUGUUCAGAAAUUGAACACUUACCGGAGUGGCUGGAUGAUUGCAGUCGAGGCCCAUGUCCUCGGACGUCUCUGGCCAUGACUUUUGAGUCUUGAAGAGCAGCUUCCAGAUUGCUUCGUGCGUCAUGCUAAAGAAUUGCUUCAGGGUCCGCGGCCCUUCCGGAUUGAACUCCCACAUGCGGAGAGGCCGGCGUUGGCAGGGAAGGGUUCGGCGGAUGAGCAUCACCUAGAUCACGUCAGUGAGGCUAGUGCCAUGUUCUAUGAUAUUUUUGAUGCACUUUUGCAGCAUCAACACCUCGUCGGAUGAUCCCCAGUCCAGACCCUUGUUGGUCCAUGACGCAAGCCGCUGCGGGUGUCCGGAUCUAAAUACAGGAGCGGCCGCCCUCUUGGUGCCACGGGGUUGAGUGAUAUAAAACCACUCCUGCGGCCAUAUCUUGACGGUCUCCACAAAUCCCCUUUGGGCCAGGUAACUUUGGGGAGCUUGCUCACCAUGGCACCGCCACAAUCCGCAUGCUGCCCGUCGACCAUCUUCGGCUUCACAUUGAAGAUCUUGAGCCAUAGGCCAAAGUGUGGGGGGAUGCGGAGGAUUACCUCACACACGACGAUAAGCGCCGAGAUGUGGAGGAAUGAGUUCGGAGCCAGAUCAUGAAAAUCUAGCCCGUAAUAGAACAUGAGACCUGAACGAAGGGGUGGAGAGGAAACCCUAGUCCGCGGAUGAAGUGGGGGAUAAAUACCACUCUUUCGCCGGGCUCCGGAGUGGGGAUGGCCUGCUUCGGGGCCGGGAGCCUGUGCGUGAUCUCCGCAGUUAAGUACCACGCCUUCCGAAGCUCCUUGAUGUUCUUCACCGUAACGGAGGAAGCCACCCACUUGCCUUGAGAGCCGGAUCUGGACAUGGCUUGAGUGUUUAGGUGGCGAUGGAAAGGAUCGAAACUUGGGCGCUGGAGCUCGAGGAUGGGAGGGUAGAGGAAUAAGAAGGCGUGAGGUAAUAAGAUGGGUCCUUAUCCUCUUAUAUAAAGGCAGCGAAUAUCAAGCGCCCCCUCAUAGGCCUUAAAACUCGCCUAUUCCCAAGGGGUCGUGCGGACGGCACGGUUGGAAUACCCAAACCGGUAUUGAUGAGAAUCCCGCAAUAAGGGGACACGAUCUCUGCUUUGACAAGACGUGCCAAUGAAGUCCGCGCCUUGAAACGCGAAGCGGGAGGCUAAAAACGAUUCAAAAUAAUAAUAAGGCCAGGCAUGACGUCUCGCCGAAAAAGCUGUCAGUGGACAUGACUUAUUUUGUUUAAGUAUUUCGCCUUUGUGGUUCAGGGUUGUAACUGUUAUCCAGAGUCGGAUAUAGUUCUCUUGUUCAAGUGCUUUGAAGUAUUCGGAGGAGGAACCCGCCUUGCAAUGCCGAAGAUAAUCUGCGCGCUGGACACAUCGUCAUUGAAGCCUGGUUCAGGGGCUAUUGAGGGAGUCCUGGAUUAGGGGGUCCCCGGGCGUCCGGGCUAUGUGACAUGGGCCGGACUGGUGGGCCGUGAAGAUACAAGAUAGAAGGCCUUCCCCCGUGUCCGGAUGGGACUCUCCUUUGCGUCGAUGGCAAGCUUGGCGUUCGGAUGUAUAGUCUCCUUCCUCUGUAAACCGACUUUGUACAACCCUAGGCCCCUCCGGUCGGUUUUGACACUGACACGUAUCUAUAAUUUUUUAUUGUUCCAUGCUGUUAUAUUAUCAACCUUGGAUGUUUUAUAAUCAUUUUAUUGUCAUUUUAUAUCAUUUUUUGGUACUAACCUAUUGACAUAGUACCAAGUGCCAGUUGCUGUUUUCUGCAUGUUUUUUACAUCGCAGGAAAUUGAUACGUCUUCGUCGUAUAUACUUUUCCAAACACUUUUGCCCUUGUUUUGGACUCUAACUUGCAUGAUUUGCAUGGAACUAACCUGGACUGACGCUGUUUUCAGCAGAAUUGCCAUGGUGUUAUUUUUGUGCAGAAACAAAAGUUCUCGGAAUGACCUGAAAAUCAACGGAGAUUUAUUUUGGAAAAUAUAAAAAAUACUCGCGAAAGAAUCAAGGCCAGGGGGCCACACCCUCUCCACGAGGGUGGGGGCGCGCCCCCUGCCUCGUGGGCCCCCUGGAGCUCCACCGACCUCAACUCCAACUCCAUACAUUCGUGUUCGGGGAGAAAAAAAUCAGAGAGAAGGAUUCAUCGCGUUUUACGAUACGGAGCCGCCGCCAAGCCCUAAACUCUCUCGGGAGGGCUGAUCUGGAGUCCGUUCGGGGCUCCGGAGAGGGGAAUCCGUCGCCAUCGUCAUCAUCAACCAUCCUCCAUCCAAUUUCAUGAUGCUCACCGCUGUGCGUGAGUAAUUCCAUCGUAGGCUUGCUAGACGGUGAUGGGUUGGAUGAGAUUUAUCAUGUAAUCGAGUUAGUUUUGUUAGGGUUUGAUCCCUAGUAUCCACUAUGUUCUGAGAUUGAUGUUGCUAUGACUUUGCUAUGCUUAAUGCUUGUCACUAGGGCCCAAGUGCCAUGAUGUCAGAUCUGAACCUAUUAUGUUUUCAUGAAUAUAUGCGAGUUCUUGAUCCUAUCUUGCAAGUCUAUAGUCACCUACUAUGUGUUAUAAUCCGGCAACCCCGAAGUGACAAUAAUCUGGACCACUCCCGGUGAUGACCACAGUUUGAGGAGUUCAUGUAUUCACUAUGUGUUAAUGCUUUGGUCCGGUACUCUAUUAAAAGGAGGCCUUAAUAUCCCUUAGUUUCCAUUAGGACCCCGCUACCACGGGAGGGUAGGACAAAAGAUGUCAUGCAAGUUCUUUUCCAUAAGGACGUAUGACUAUAUUCGGAAUACAUGCCUACAUUACAUUGAUGAAUUGGAGCUAGUUCUAUGUCACCCUAUGUUAUGACUGUUACAUGAUGAACCGCAUCAGGCAUAAUUCUCCAUCACCGAUCCAAUGCCUAUGAGCUUUUCACAUAUUGUUUUCCUCUUAUUUACUUUUCCGUUGCUACUGUUACAAUCACUACAAAACCCAAAAAUAUUACUUUUGCUACCGCUACCGUUACUUCCAUACUACUUUGCUACUAAAUACUUUGCUGUAGAUAUUAAGUUAUCCAGGUGUGGCUGAAUUGACAACUCAGUUGCUAAUACUUGAGAAUAUUCUUUGGCUCCCCUUGUGUCGAGUCAAUAAAUUUGGGUUGAAUACUCUACCCUCAAAAACUAUUGCGAUCCCCUAUACUUGUGGGUUAUCAAGACUAUUUUCUGGCGCCGUUGCCGGGGACCAUAGCUCUAUUCUUUGAGUCACUUGGGAUUUAUAUCUGCUGGUCACUAUGAGGAACUUGCAAGACGAGAAAACCAAAAUUUAUCCCUCAACUACGAGGGGAGGUAAGGAACUGCCAUCUAGCUCUGCACUUGAUUCACCUUCUGUUUUUAGUAAGCUUGCGAUGCCUAAAACUGCUUCUGCUAUUAAUUCUGAUAUGUCGCAUGUUAUUGAUGAUGCCACUUCUGCUAUGCAUAAUACUUAUGAUGAAACUACUUCUAUGCUUGAUACUACUGUGCCACUUGGUGAAUUUCUUGAUGAACAACUUGCUAGGGCUAGAGAGAAUGAAAUUAUUGAAACUGAUAAUAUUGAUGAAAGUGAUGAUGAAGACUCUCCCCUAGAUAUGAAUUACCUGUUGUGCCUGGAGGCUAUGUUAUGGAUGAAGAAACUGCUAGAGACUUUCUUGCUUGCAAUGAUAGAAGUGAUCUUAAGAAAUUAUUAGCUAAGCUGAAACAAAAAACUCUGAAUGCUAGAAUGAAAUAUGAUCCUGCUUAUGCUACUUCACCUAUCUUUGUUACUGAUAAGGAUUAUGAAUUCUCGGUCGACCCUGAUAUAAUUACUUUGGUUGAAUCUGAUCCCUUCUAUGGCUAUGAAUCUGAAACUGUUGUGGCACAUCUUACUAAAUUAAAUGAUAUAGCCACCCUGUUCACUAAUGAUGAGAAAACUCGCUAUUACUAUAUCCUUAAAAUAUUUCUGUUCUCAUUAAAGGGUGAUGCUAAGAUAUGGUUUAAUUCUGUUAACCCGGAUUGUGUGCGUAGCCCCCAGGAUAUGACUCUGCUAAAUAUUUCCCUUCUCAUAAGAAACAAGCUGCUUUAAGGGAAAUAUAUAAUUUUGUGCAAAUUGAAGAAGAGAGUCUCCCACAAGCUUGGGGGAGGCUUCUCCAAUUACUUAAUGCUUUGCCUGAUCAUCCUCUUAAGAAAAAUGAAAUACUUGAUAUCUUUUAUAAUGGACUAACCGAUGCUUCGAGAGACCACCUGGAUAGUUGUGCUGGUUCUGUUUUCAGGGAAAGAACACCAGAUGAAGCUGAAAUUCUAUUGAAUAAUAUGUUGACUAAUGAAAAUAAUUGGACACUUCCUGAACCAACUCCUAAGCCAACUCCGAAGAAAAUGGGUGUUCUAUUCCUCAGUCCUGAGGAUAUGCAAGAGGCAAAGAAAUCUAUGAAAGAAAAGGGUAUAAAAGCUGAAGAUGUUAAGAAUCUACCUCCUAUUGAAGAAAUACAUGGUCUUAAUUUACCGCCUGUUGAAGAAAUACAUGGUUUUAAUCCAUCACCUAUUGAAGAGAUUCAUGGUCUUGAUAACCCGACACAGGUAGUAAAGGUAAAUUCUCUCUAUAGAUAUGAUAAAGCUGAAAUCCCUCCUAUUAAGUUUGCUAGCCAAUGUUUGGACGAGUUUGAUAACUUUAUGGUUAAGCAAGAAGAUUUUAAUGCUUAUUUUGGUAGACAAUGAAAACACAAUGCCUAUAUGAUUGAAAACUUGAGUGAUUAUAUGUCUAGAGUUAAAGGUGAACUUAAACUCAUUAGUAAACAUGCUUCUAUGGUUACCACUCAAGUAGAACAAGUACUUAAAGCUCAGAAUGAUUUGCUCAAUGAAUUAAAUAGUAAGAAUAAUGAUUUUGCUAUUAGAGUGGCUACUAGAACUGGUAAAAUGACUCAGGAACCUUUGUAUCCUGAAGGCCAUCCUAAGAGAAUUGAGCAAGAUUCUCAGAGAACUAAUGUAGAUGCACCUAGUCCUUCUAAGAAGAAGAAAAAGAAAAAUGAUAGGACUUUGCAUGCUUCUAGUGAACCUGUUGCUGACACACCUGAGAAUCCCAAUGAUAUUUCUAUUUCUGAUGCUGAAACACAAUCUGGUAAUGAACAUAAACCUAAUGAUAAUGUUAAUGAUGAUGUUCAUGUUGAUGCUCAACCUAGUAAUGAUAAUGAUGUAGAAAUUGAACCUGCCGUUGAUCUUGAUAACCCACAAUCAAAGAAUCAACGUUAUGAUAAGAGAGACUUUGUUGCUAGGAAGCACGGUAAAGAAAGAGAACCAUGGGUUCAGAAACCCAUGCCUUUUCCUCCCAACCCAUCCAAGAAAAAGGAUGAUGAGGAUUUUGAGCGCUUUGCUGAAAUGAUUAGACCUAUCUUUUUGCGUAUGCAUUUGACUGAUAUGCUUAAAAUGAAUCCUUAUGCUAACUAUAUGAAAGAUAUUUUUUCAAAUAAAAGAAAGAUACCGAAAGCUAAAAUUUCCACCAUGCUUGCUAAUUAUACUUUUAAGGGUGGAAUACCUAAGAAGUUAGGAGAUCCAGGAGUACCAACUAUACCAUGCUCCAUUAAAAGAAAUUAUGUUAGAACUGCCUUAUGUGAUCUUGGAGCCGGUGUUAGUGUUAUGCCUCUCUCUUUAUAUCGUAGACUUGAUUUGAAUAAGUUGACACCUACUGAAGUAUCUUUGCAAAUGGCUGAUAAAUCAACUGCUAUACCUGUCGGUAUUUGUGAGGAUGUGCCUGUUGUGGUUGCAAAUGUUACUAUUUUAACAGACUUUGUUAUUGUUGAUAUUCUCGAGGACGAUAGUAUGUCUAUUAUUCUUGGAAGACCCUUUUUGAAUACUGCAGGGGCUGUUAUUGAUUGCAACAAAGGCAAUGUAACUUUUCAUGUUAAUGGCAAUGAGCAUACAGUACACUUUCCGAGGAAACAACCUCAAGUUCAUAGUAUAAACUCUAUUGGAAAAAUUCCAUCGAUUAUUUUUGGAGGUUUUGAAUUUCCUCUACCUACUGUCAAGAAGAAAUAUGAUAUUCUUAUUAUUGGGGACGUGCAUAUCCCCGUUGAGGUAACAUAGUGUUAUUCAAAAUUUCUCCGGUUCCAUGUUAUUCGGAAUGAGUUUGUUAACAAGACUUGAUCAACCUUGUUAGUGGAUUCCUUCUGAUGAGCAUGAGAUGGAUGAAGUUAGAAAGCACAACCUUCUGUACCCUCCUUUUACUUUCUAUUAUUUAGUUGAAAUAAAGUAAAAAUAGUAUUUUUCUGUCUGUUUUCUGAAUUAUCCGUGCAAUAUAAAAAUACCCCGAAAAUAAAAGUUCUCCAAAUGCCCUGAAAUUUAAAUAUGAUUUUUUCUGGAAUAUUUGAGAAUAUCUGGCACUGAGAACACAUCAGGGGGAACUGGCACCUGGCCACGAGGGUACAGGGCGCGCCCACCCCCCUGGGCGCGCCCCCUGCCUCGUGGGCCCACGGUGGCUCCCCUCCACUUAUUCCUGCACCCACACACUUCGUCUUCCUCCCAAAAAAAUCACCAACCAGCUGAAGCAUGAGUUCUAGCUCAUUUUCCUGCGAUUUUCGAUCUCCUUGCUCAAAGCACCUCUCACAAAACUGCUUUGGGGGAUUGUUCCUUGGUAUGUGACUCCUCCAAUGGUCCAAUUAGUUUUUGUUCUAGUGCUUUAUUCAUUGCAAAUUUGUGCUGCCUAGGUGACCAUGUUCUUGAGUUUGCAUGUCAAAUUUAUAUGGUUCCAAGUAGUUCUAAUGCAUGAUAUAGUCUCUAGGCACUGGUGGGAGUAGUUGCUAUCAUUUUGCUGAGUUUGGUUCACUCUUAUUUGAAGUUACUUAAUUUUUUAGAAAUUUUUCAGAGGAAGAAAUAUUUUUAAGAAAAUGUACGAAGGUGGCCCUUCAAGGAAGUAAUGACCCAGGCUCGCAAUGCGCGAUGCCGACGAUGAACCACCAAGGGACGCUCAAGUGCGGGCUUGUGAAUGGCCUUCAGAGGACUUCAUGGAUCGAGCAGGAAUCAAGGAAGAAUAUAACGCAUAUGUGCGUAACGCUGAUAUUGUGAGCUUCGAGGCAGAUAAGUGCCGUCAGCAUUACUAUCUCACUGAUUCCUUUGUGAGGAAGUUUGAAUUUUCAUCAUCACGUAAUUCUCAAACUGUCUUGUUUGAUCUCUAUAAAAUUCUUACACUAUGGACUUAGAGGAUUUUACCACUGCUUGCAAACUUCCACAAUGGGGUAGCACUAGUGAGCCUCGCAAAUCUGAGUUUAGAGACUUUCUCGCUAGUAUAACUGUGGGGGAAUCUAGAGACAUAACACAAGCUACCAUAGGGAGCAUUCAUUUUCCUGCUAUACAUUAUUUUGCUCUCUUCAUAGGUAGGUGCAUAAAUGGUAAGGAUGAAGCAUGUCAUAUAUGUGUCCCUGACCUCAGUGUUCUCAGGGGUGCUGUACUAGGAGAUAAACAUUAUAAUUUGGGAGCCAUUGUUGCACGUAGGUUGCAUAACAAUAGAUUUAAUGGAGAUUUCUUUGGUGGAAUUUAUGCAAUCCGUUUAGCUAAUUUUCUUGAUAUACCCAUACGUGAGGAUGAUAUUGAGUUGCCUCCUGCUUAUUUAGAUUAUGAGGCUAUGGUUCGUCAUCGUUUUGUUGAGAGGAACGAUCAGUUCCUCCAGUACCGACUAAUCUUUGACAGACGACGCACCUAUCACGUCGCUCUCCCUGCUUCUACCUUCUUUGACUUCAGGAAAAGGGGAGAUAUUUCAUAACCAGGGAGGAGGGGAACAAGUACGAGAGGAGGGCUGAGAUAGCUCGCCUCCAAGCUGCAGCCCACAAUGCAAUAACUGCUGCAUCUCAGUACGACCCCAACUACAAAUUUGGAUAUCCGCCAGGCCAACCGUGGCAAUAGACCAACUUAGGCCAAAAGCCUAAGCUUGGGGGAGUACGUAUUUCUCACCGACAUUACAUUCAUAUUCACACACUCAUGCUAGUUGUCGGUGUUCAUACUUUUUCACUGUAAUAUCCAUGCUAGUUUAUUUUCCUUUUUUAUGCUUUCUUCUUGUGUGUUUGAAAAACCUUAAGAAAAACCAAAAAAUUAGUAGUAGCCUUUAGCUAGUUUACUUUUCUUGCUAUAGUAGUAGUAAUUAAAAAGAAAACCCAAAAAUAUUUCCUGUUCUUCUUUUGCUUGUUGGGAUCUUUCCCAUGUAAAUAGUUUUAUUUUAUUUUCUUUUCCUUGGGGGUCGAUAGGAGAAGACCAUAAUGAAAUUAUUGAAGUGGAUCUUAUAUGCAUUAUUGUUGAUUUAACCAAGAGCCCAUAUUGCCUUGUCUUCUCCUUUGUAUUAAAUGCUUGCAGAUUCCAGCUUAGUCCAAUGCACGUGCACUAUUAUUAUUAUUCACAUCGUUCGGUCGUGCAAGUGAAAGGCAAUAAUGACGAUAUAUGAUGAAUUGAUUGAGAUGAGAAAAGCUGGUAUGAACUCGACCUCUCUUGUUUUUGUAAAUAUGAUUAGUUCAUCGUUCCUGAUUCAACUUUUUAUGAAUAAACAUGUUUGCAAUGACAAUUAGAGAUCAUAGUUGCUCGUGCCAUGCUUGAUUAGCUAUGAGUUUAUAAUGGUUUACCUUGCGUGCCAACAUGCUAUUAAAAUGGUUGUGAUGUGGUAUGAUGGGGUGGUAUCCUCCUUUGAAUGAUUUAAGUGACUUGACUUGGCACAUGUUCACACAUGUAGUUGAAACAAAUCAACAUAGCCUUCACGAUAUUUAUGUUCAUGGUGGAUUAUAUCCUACUCAUGCUUGCACUCAAUGUUCAUUAAUUUUAAUGCAUGUUCAUGACUGUUGUCACUCUCUAGUUGGUCGCUUCCCAGUCUUUUUCUAGCCUUCACAUGUACUAAGCGGGAAUACUGCUUGUGCAUCCAAUCCCUUAAACCCCGAAGUUAUUCCAUACGAGUCCACCAUACCUUCCUAUAUACGGUAUCUACCUGCCGUUCCAAGUAAAUUUGUAUGUGCCAAACUCUAAACCUUCAAAUGAAAUUCUGUUUUGUAUGCUCGAAUAGCUCAUGUAUCAACUAGGGCUGUCCGUAUCUUCCAUGUUAGGCGGGUUAUUCUCAAGAGGAGUGGACUACGCUCCUCACUCACGAGAAAAUGGCUGGUCACCGGGAUGCCCAGUCCCAUGCUUUAUGCAAAUCAAAUCAAAAUAGUUGCAAACAAAACUCCCCCGGGACUGUUGUUAGUUGGUGUAGCGACCAGACCUCAAACAUUCUAGUCUCUGUGCAUCAGUGUCAUCCCUGGAUCGGUAAUGCUGACACGCACAGUACUUGAAGGAUUUAUAACAGAGUAGCAAUCACACCCUUAUUACAUCGAAUAGUCUCAAGAGAGAACUUAUUACAAUAAAUAUGGCUUAAGGCCAUCUAAAUACGAUAACAGCGGAAGCCUUGGAAGAUAAAGUGAGUCCAUCAACUCCAACAGCAUCACUGAGUAUAAGACCACGACCUAAGGCUCCUUACUCGUCGUCUGAAAAGUCUGCAACAUGAACGUUGCAGCCCAAAAACGGGUCAGCACAUGGAAUAUGCUCGCAAAGUAACACAUAGAGAGUAAUUCACAGAAUAAUGCUAUCACUACAUGCACAUAUGGCUGGUGGAAAGCUCUAUGGUUACAGUUUGCGAAAAGCCAAUUUUUUCCUACAACAAAGGAAUAAAUUUUAUUUAACUAUCAUGGUGGUUGUUAAACAUUGAGAAGGUACCUCCAACUCAAUCCCAAUUAAGAACGUGAUUAACCCAAUCAAAUUAAAUUAAGUAACAUGAUGAUGAGAUUCACAUGAAAAUCCAAGAACUAGAUACUCAAGAUGUCCAUAACCGGGGACACGGCUAACCAUGAUUAGUUUGUACACUCUACAGAGGUUUGCGCACUUUUCCCCACAAGACUCGAUCUCCUCCGUUUGAUUUCUCGCACUACAUGGUGUUUGAGAAACGGAUGACCGAGACACAGUCUUUCAGAAACAAUAACUCUUUACUCCGGGUGGACAGUUACACCUACUUUCCCCUACAUCUGCUAGCCCACCUCUUCAAGAGGUCAUGUAACCUACUCAACUAUGCUAGAGCCCAUAAUAGCUUGUGGCUGCACACGGAAGUUUCUAGCAUGAAUAAUCUCAUGAUCCCUUUGAGCCUGGGUGGCGGUCCAUAGGAUAAUCUCAUGGGUACUCCGGGAUAUCCAAAAAUACAGGCAACACUGGGUUCCCCAGGUGCCUCAAUCCACCCAGAUGUGAAUUAAAGUAACCACCUUAAGUUGAACCAUCAAUUAACAUCCUCACAUCUGUCAUGGAAAUUCACUCAAACCCAAUCCAUGUCUACGAGCAUAGCAUAGCAAUAUAAGCAAACAUAGAAGUAACUCCCAACGGUUUGAUAAUAAACAGGGUAAUAGGUACUACCUCAUCUACUUCCCAAAACCCACAUAUUAAACAGUUCCUAACCAUGCAAUAGUUUGAGGGUUGAUCUAAUGCAAUAAAACUAGGUGGUAAAGAGGUAUGACCAAAGUGUUACUUGCCUUGUUGAUGAUCCGUGAAACCUAGAGACUCGUAGUAGCACGCUUCGCACUCCGCGUACUCUAUCGCAAACAAACAAUACAUACAUAAGCAAUCAAGCAAGGGUGCACAGGUAAAACUCAAAAUAAGAGAUCUAACUAGAAAGUUUAACUUAAGAACUCCGGUUUGCAAAAAGAAUCAAAUCGAACGAAGCAACGAAACUCAAACGGCGAAAGAAACAAUCUCCGUUUACUAAUCUGGACCUAAGUCAAAUUUGACAGUAGCAAAAACUUGUUUAAGUUGCUUAAACAGAAAGAGGGUUUCGAGACGAAACUCUAGGCGCUUGAAUCGCCUGAUUCCGAUAAACGAGCGAAAAGUUAUACUAAAAUGAAAAACAGAUCGGAAAUCGCGAUCGAAAAUAAUUGCAAAAAUUCCGAGAAAAAGAAAAACUGACGAACAGGCUAACGAACGAACGUUUGCUGUCUGCGGCUAAACGACGAAAAUCGUUCAUUAAAACGAACGUACGAACGGGCGUUCGCUAAAUAAACUAAACCGGAAAAAAAGAUCUAAUAAAAAAACACCGCGGUUUUAAAAAAACCGGGCGGUUUUUCCGAAGAAAACCGUCGGCGGCGGGGAGGCUACCUCCGGCGAGGUCCGGCGUCGGGCUCAGGCGGGCGGGGCGGCGGCGGCGGCGGUCGACGAGGCGGGACGAGGCGGCGGCGAUCGGGACGGGCGGCGGCGGGGCGCGGCGUCGGCGGGAUCCGGCGGCGGCGCUAGGGUUUGGCGGGGCUGGGGCGGCUCGGGCGCCUCGGGCUUUAAAGGCCCAGCCGGGUCGGUGUCCCAGGCGGACACGGCCCGGUUAGGUCGGUUCGUUUUUUAAUAGUUUCGUGCAGAAAAACAAUUAAAAGAAAUACUAAACGGACUCCAAAAAUCCCAAAAUAAAUUUUCCCCGUCCUGUAAAAUCAAGCCGGACAAGAUGAACAUUUAUUUGGGCCUAAAAUGCAAUUUUGAAAAACGCAUAUUUUUCCUAAAUUCAAAUAAAAUAGCGAUAAAAUCCAAAAUAAAAUCUUAUUUGAUUUUAUUAUUAAAUCCUCAAUAUUUCUUUAUUUUGGGAAAGUCAUUUUAUUCCCUCCCUCUUAUUUUUAUUAUUGAAAUAAUUGAAGAUAAAAUAAAUAAAAUCAAAUGAUCCUAUUUUCAAAAUUUGAGAAAACCCAAAUAUGAAAACAACGAAAUCCCCAACUCUCUCCGUGGGUCCUUGAGUUGCGUAGAAUUUCUAGGAUCUAGCCAAGAUGCAAAUAAAAAAAUAUGAUAUGCAAUGAUGAUCUAUUGUAUAACAUUCCAAAUUGAAAAUUUGGGAUGUUACAAACCUACCCCCCCCUUAAGAUGAAUCUCGCCCUCGAGAUUCAGGUUGGCUAGAAAAAUAGGUGAGGGUGGUCCUUCCGUAGAUCUUCCUCUCGCUCCCAGGUGGUUUCAUCCUCGGUAUGGUGGCUCCACUGAACUUUGCAAAACUUGAUAACCUUGCUGCGGGUGACUCGGCUGGCAUAUUCCAGAAUCUUGACUGGUUUCUCCUCAUAUGUCAAAUCACUAUCCAGCUGAAUCGCUUCUAGUGGCAGUGUAUCUCUCAGUGGUAUCUCAGCCAUCUCCGCGUGACACUUCUUCAACUGAGAAACGUGGAAGACAUCGUGAACUCCCGACAAUCCUUCGGGCAAUUCCAACUUGUAAGCAACUUCUCCCAUACGCUCCAAAACUUUGUAUGGUCCAAAAAAACGUGGCGCUAACUUUCCCUUAACCCCAAAGCGCUUCACUCCUCGAAGUGGUGAUACUCGAAGAUACACUCUGUCUCCGACUUCGUAGACUGUCUCCUUGAGUUUAGAAUCCGCGUAACUCUUCUGCCUGGACUGGGCUACCUUGAGCCUAUCACGAAUCAACUUCACCUUCUGUUCAGACUCUUUAAUCAAAUAUGGUCCAAACAACUGUCGGUCUCCAACUUCGUCCCACAACAAUGGUGUUCUGCACCUCCUUCCGUACCGCGCUUCGAAAGGGGCCAUCUUCAAACUGGCUUGAUAACUGUUGUUAUAAGAGAACUCUGCAUAAGGCAAAUUGUCGUCCCAACUAGAUCCAUAAUCAAGCGCACAAGCUCUCAGCAUGUCCUCCAAAAUCUGAUUUACUCUUUCAGUCUGUCCAUCUGUUUGCGGGUGAAAAGCUGUACUGAACUCUAGCCUGGUACCCAAAGUUUCGUGCAACUGAUUCCAAAACUUUGAAGUAAACUGGGUUCCUCUAUUUGAUACAAUGGUCCUCGGAACUCCAUGCAGACAUACGAUCCUGGUCAUGUAUAUCUUUGCCAACUUAGCACUGGUGUAAGUGGUCUUCACUGGGAUGAAAUGAGCUACCUUCGUCAAACGAUCGACUGCAACCCAUAUCGAGUCAUAGCCUGAACGAGUCCUGGGCAAUCCCGUGAUAAAAUCCAUGCCUAGCUUAUCCCACUUCCAUUCGGGUAUAGGCAAUGGCUGUAGCAAUCCUGCUGGCUUCUGAUGUUCUGCUUUCACUCCCUGACAUACAUCACAAACUGCUACAUACUCCACAAUAUCCUUCUUCAUUCCGGUCCACCAGAAACUGUCCUUUAAAUCCAGGUACAUCUUUAUAUUUCCUGGGUGAAUUGAAUACGGUGAAUCAUGGGCCUCUUGAAGAAUCAACUUCCUGAUCUCCUGAUCAUUGGGCACAUAUACGCGGUCCUCAAACCAUAAGGUAUCGUGCUCAUCCUCAAGGAAUCCUUUAGCCUUUCCUUUACUCAUCCUUUCCUUUAUCUCGGCAAUCUCCUUGCCCGUCUUCUGAGCUUCUUUGAUCUUAUCCCAUCAAGGUAGACUGAAUUUCCAAGGCUGCUACAUAACCUCUUGGAACUAUCUCCAAACGCAGCUCGCAAAGGUCUUCUGCUAACUCUUGGGUAACUCUCCGGUCAUGAGGGUAUUUACAUGACUCUUGCGGCUCAACGCAUCAGCUACUACGUUAGCCUUUCCUGGGUGAUAAUGCAAUCUCAUAUCAUAAUCCUUAAUGAGCUCUAGCCAUCUCCUCUGUCUAAGAUUCAGCUCCUUCUGCGUGAAAAUGUACUUCAAACUCUUGUGAUCCGUGUACACCUCACAAUGGUUUCCGAUGAGAAAAUGUCUCCAUGUCUUCAACGCAUGCACUACGGCUGCUAACUCCAAAUCAUGUGUAGCAUAAUUUAACUCAUGGGGUUUAAGCUGUCGUGAGGCAUAUGAAACAACUCUUCCCUCCUGCAUAAGUACGGCUCCAAGUCCUCGACGUGAAGCAUCGCAAUGCACUUCAUAAUAUUUGCGUUGAUCUGGUAGAAUCAACACUGGUGAUGUAACCAAGCGUCUUUUCAACUCCUGAAAACUGGCCUCACAUUCCUCAGUUCAAUUGAAUUUGGUGUCCUUCUUCAACAAUUCCGUCAUAGGUUUUGCAAUCUUCGAGAAAUUCUCAAUGAAUCUCCGGUAGUAUCCUGCGAGUCCAAGAAAACUUCGGAUCUCUCCAACUGACGUGGGUGAUUCCCAAUUUGUCACAAUGUUAACCUUGGUGGGAUCUACUGCUAUUCCUUCUCCGGAUAUAACAUGUCCAAUGAAUCCAACUUCCUUUAACCAAAACUCGCACUUGCUGAACUUGGCAUAUAACUGAUGUUCUCUGAGCUUUCCAAGUACCAAACGAAAAUGCUCCUUAUGCUCUUCUUCAUUCUUCGAAUAGACCAGAAUAUCAUCAAUGAACACUAUGACGAACUUAUCCAAAAACUCCAUAAACACUUUGUUCAUCAUGUUCAUGAAAUAGGUAGGUGCGUUAGUCAGGCCAAAUGACAUAACGGUGUACUCAUAUAGCCCAUACCUCGUUGUAAAAGCUGUCUUAGGUAUAUCCUGCUCUCGAAUCUUCAGCUGGUGGUACCCUUAUCGCAGAUCGAUUUUAGAAAACACUUUAGCCCCUUGCAACUGGUCAAAUAAAUCAUUGAUCAUCGGCAGUGGGUACUUGUUCUUGAUUGUUACUUAAUUCAAUCCACGAUAAUCAACAACCAUCCUCAACGAUCCAUCUUUCUUCUCCACUAGAAGUACUGGUGAUCCCCAAGGUGAUGAACUUGGGCGAAUAUAUCCUUUAUCCAGUAAAUCCUUAAUCUGCUUCUUAAUUUCUUCCGAAUCCUUAGCGGGCAUCCUGUACGGUCUCUUAGAUAUCGGCCCUGUGCCUGGCAAAAGCUCAAUCAAAAACUCAAUGUCCCUAUCCGGUGGCCUGCCUGGCAACUCCUCUGGAAAUACGUCAGGGAAAUCCUUCACCAUUGGUACUUCCUCCUGUACAACUCCUGAUAAGGAAUUCACUUGAGUCCUCUUCGGCACAUGCCGGGAUACAUACUUAAUCCUUCUUCCUUCUGGGGUGGUAAGCAAAAUCGACUUACUGGCGCAGUCAAUGUUCCCUCCAUACUUCGAUAGCCAAUCCAUUCCCAAAAUCACAUCCAAACCUUGCGACUCCAAAACUAUUAGGUCUGAGGGGAAAACAUGCCUACCUAUGGCCAAUGGCAUCUGAAAACAUCCUUGGCUUGCCAUAUACUCUGCUCCUGGCAAGGUUACUAACAUAGGUGUUCUAAGAACUUUGGUGGGCAACUUAUACUUAUCCACAAAUCCCCUUAAUAUGUAUGAAUGUGAUGCACCAGUAUCAAAAAGAACGAUUGCAGUAAAUGACUUAACCAAAAACUUACCUAUUACUGCAUCAGGCUGUGCUUCAACCUCCUCCACGUUAACGUGGUUCACCUGUCCCCUGUUGAAAGGGUUCGGCUUCUUCCCCGAGCUUCCAUUGCCAUUUCCAUUCUUAGCUUCCGGACAUUCAGUUGCAUAAUGUCCAGUCUUCUGGCACUUGAAACAAGUAAUGUGGCUCAGAUCCCUCUUGGCUGGGGUUGAUGGGUUGGUACGGUUCUGUCCGUUGCUUCCUCCGUUCCCAUUGCCAUCCUUGGGGCCACUAUGAUUUUGCGAGCUCCCUCCAUUGUGAUUGUGACCUCCGUGGUUAUGCUGAAGGUGUCCUCCCGAGUUCGGGGUAAAACGAGGCUUUUGAUGAGCUCUUGUACUGUACUUUCCUUGUCCAUACUUCCUCUUGAGGCUGUCAAUCUGUUGCUGCUUCCCUUCAAGCAUGAGAGCUCUAUCCACCAACUCCUGGUAGUUAUUGAAAUUUGCCACCAUCAACUGCAUGCUCAGCUCAUCAUUCAGUCCUUCCAGAAACUUCUCUUGCUUAGCUGCAUCCGUAGCAACGUCAUCUGGGGCAUAACAUGCUAACUUACUGAAAUCCUCCACGCAUUGGCCAACGGUACGUCCUCCUUGGCGUAAGUUGCGAAACUCACGCUUCUUCAUGGCCAUAGCUCCUGCUGAAACAUGGGCAGUGCGAAAAGCCUGCUGGAACUGGUCCCAUGUCACAGUGUCAAUAGGGUAAGUGACUAUGAAAUUCUCCCACCAAGAUGCUGCGGGUCCAUCAAGCUGAUGUGCGGCAAAACGCACUCUCUCCGCAUCUGUGCAUCCUGCAGUGGUCAACUCCCUAUCAAUCUUGCGAAGCCAAUCAUCUGCAACAAUCGGCUCGGUGCUACUGGAAAACACCGGCGGAUUCAGCCUCAAUAAACGGGCUAAGUGAUCAACAGGUGGUGGUGGUGGUGGUGGUGGGUUGUUGUUGUCGUUGCCUUGGUUCUGAACUAACACUUGCAUCAGGGCAUUCUGCUACUGAAUCAACUGAGUGAUCUCCGGUGGGAAAACAAAUCCGGUGUCGCGUCUCGGAGGCAUCUGAUGGGUUUAGAAAAGAUGAGAAAAUAGGAUAAAAUGAGAUCUAGAGGGAAAACACUACCCAUAUGCACGUGAGACAAACACAAUCAUAUCACUCCAAUCAAUUCAAACAAGGCAUACAAUCGAUCUAACUAUCGUUACAAAGUGCUUGGACUAUACUAUAUACAUGGUGGAAUACUACUACUAAUAUGGUGGUCGAUUAGAAAAAUUGAUCGGCCAAAGACUCCAUGAUAUCUGCUCUAGCUUCAUCAACAUAGUCAUCAUCUCUAUCGUCAGGGUCCGAGUCGGUGUCGUUGAUGAUGAUAUAGUUAUCCGGGCAAGUGGAACUGUCAUCUUCUCCUCUUGGCGCAGGGUCUCCCAUGAAAACUCCUAGCUUCUUUGUCAGGUCGCCAUUCUUCUCUACUAGUGCGACGAUUUCCUCCAUAUAAUCUUCGCGUGUAGCCUUGAGUUCUUCCUCCAGCUCCGUGAUCCUUGUCAUUGCUUUCUUCAAAUCUAUCAUGCCUGCGCACAUCUGGUUCUCCUGUCGACGAAUGUGCUGGUUUAACUCCUGAAUGAAAGCUGCAAUAGAUCUAUCCUCCCUGGUGCUGAUCUAUCAUUCCAACUCCGAGAUGCUUGCACCAGUCCAUAAAUGGAUCGCUAGUGCACACUUUGUUAGCAUCCUUUUGUAGCGACCAGACCUCAAACAGUCUAGUCUCCGUGCAUCAGUGUCAUCCCUGGAUCGGUAAUGCUGACACGCACGGUACUUGAAGGAUUUAUAACAGAGUAGCAAUCACACCCUUAUUACAUCGAAUAGUCUCAAGAGAGAACUUAUUACAAUAAAUAUGGCUUAAGGCCAUCUAAAUACGAUAACAGCGGAAGGCUUGGAAGAUAAAGUGAGUCCAUCAACUCCAACGGCAUCACUGAGUAUAAGACCACGACCUAAGGCUCGUUACUCGUCGUCUGAAAAGUCUGCAACAUGAACGUUGCAGCCCGAAAAUGGGUCAGCACAUGGAAUAUGCUCGCAAAGUAACACAUAGAGAGUAAUUCACAGAAUAAUGCUAUCACUACAUGCACAUAUGGCUGGUGGAAAGCUCUAUGGUUACAGUUUGCGAAAAGCCAAUUUUUCCCUACAACAAAGGAAUAAAUUUUAUUUAACUAUCAUGGUGGUUGUUAAACAUUGAGAAGGUACCUCCAACUCAAUCCCAAUUAAGAACGUGAUUAACCCAAUCAAAUUAAAUUAAGUAACAUGAUGAUGAGAUUCACAUGAAAAUCCAAGAACUAGAUACUCAAGAUGUCAAUAACCAGGUACACGGCUAACCAUGAUUAGUUUGUACACUCUACAGAGGUUUGCACACUUUUCCCCACAAGACUCGAUCUCCUCCAUUUGAUUUCUCGCACUACAUGGUGUUUGAGAAACGGAUGACCGAGACACAGUCUUUCAGAAACAAUAACUCUUUACUCCGGGUGGACAGUUACACCUACUUUCCCCUACAUCUGCUAGCCCACCUCUUCAAGAGGUCAUGUAACCUACUCAACUAUGCUAGAGCCCAUAAUAGCUUGUGGCUGCACACGGAAGUUUCUAGCAUGAAUAAUCUCAUGAUCCCUUUGAGCCUGGGUGGUGGUCCAUAGGAUAAUCUCAUGGGUACUCCGGGAUAUCCAAAAAUACAGGCAACACUGGGUUCCCCAGGUGCCUCAAUCCACCCAGAUGUGAAUUAAAGUAACCACCUUAAGUUGAACCAUUAAUUAACAUCCUCACAUCUGUCAUGGAAAUUCACUCAAACCCAAUCCACGUCUACGAGCAUAGCAUAGCAAUAUAAGCAAACGUAGAAGUAACUCCCAACGGUUUGAUAAUAAACAGGGCAAUAGGUACUACCUCAUCUACUUCCCAAAACCCACAUAUUAAACAGUUCCUAACCAUGCAAUAGUUUGAGGGUUGAUCUAAUGCAAUAAAACUAGGUGGUAAAGAGGUAUGAUCAAAGUGUUACUUGCCUUGCUGAUGAUCUGUAAAACCUAGAGACUCGUAGUAGCACGCUUCGCACUCCGGGUACUCUAUCGCAAACAAACAAUACAUACAUAAGCAAUCAAGCAAGGGUGCACGGGUAAAACUCAAAAUAAGAGAUCUAACCAGAAAGUUCAACUUAAGAACUCCGGUUUGCAAAAAGAAUCAAAUCGCACGAAGCAACGAAACUCAAACGGCGAAAGAAACAAUCUCUGUUUACUAAUCUGGACCUAAGUCUAAUUUUACAGUAGAAAAAACUUGUUUAAGUUGGUUAAACGGAAAGAGGGUUUCGAGACGAAACUCUAGGCGCUUGAAUCGCCUGAUUCCGAUAAACGAGCGAAAAGUUAUACUAAAACAAAAAUAGAUCGGAAAUCGCGAUCGAAAAUAAUCGCAAAAAUUCCGAGAAAAAGAAAAACUGACGAACAGGCUAACGAAGGAACGUUCGCUGUCUGCGGCUAAACGACAAAAACCGUUCGUUAAAACGAACGUACGAACGGGCGUUCGCUAAAUAAACUAAACCGAAGAAAAUAAAUAAAACCGAUCUAAUAAAAAACCGCGGUUUAAAAAAACCGGGCGGUUUUUCCGAAGAAGCCCGCCGGCGGCGGGGCGGCUACCUCCGGCGAGGUCCGGCGUCGGGCUCCGGCAGGCGGGGCGGCGGCGCCGGUGGUCGACAAGGCGGGACGAGGCGGCNNNNNNNNNNNNNNNNNNNNNNNNNNNNNNNNNNNNNNNNNNNNNNNNNNNNNNNNNNNNNNNNNNNNNNNNNNNNNNNNNNNNNNNNNNNNNNNNNNNNNNNNNNNNNNNNNNNNNNNNNNNNNNNNNNNNNNNNNNNNNNNNNNNNNNNNNNNNNNNNNNNNNNNNNNNNNNNNNNNNNNNNNNNNNNNNNNNNNNNNNNNNNNNNNNNNNNNNNNNNNNNNNNNNNNNNNNNNNNNNNNNNNNNNNNNNNNNNNNNNNNNNNNNNNNNNNNNNNNNNNNNNNNNNNNNNNNNNNNNNNNNNNNNNNNNNNNNNNNNNNNNNNNNNNNNNNNNNNNNNNNNNNNNNNNNNNNNNNNNNNNNNNNNNNNNNNNNNNNNNNNNNNNNNNNNNNNNNNNNNNNNNNNNNNNNNNNNNNNNNNNNNNNNNNNNNNNNNNNNNNNNNNNNNNNNNNNNNNNNNNNNNNNNNNNNNNNNNNNNNNNNNNNNNNNNNNNNNNNNNNNNNNNNNNNNNNNNNNNNNNNNNNGCGGGAUCCGCCGGCGGCGGCGCUAGGGUUUGGCAGGGCUGGGGCGGCUCGGGCGCCUCGGGCUUUAAAGGCCCAGCUGGGUCGGUGUCCCAGGCGGACACGGCCCGGUUAGGUCGGUUCGUUUUUUAAAUAGUUUCGCGCAGAAAAACAAUUAAAAGAAAUACUAAACGGACUCCAAAAAUCCCAAAAUAAAUUUUCCCCGUCCUCUAAAAUAAAACCGGACAAGAUGAACAUUCAUUUGGGGCCAAAAUGUAAUUUUGAAAACGCAUAUUUUUCCUAAAUUCAAAUAAAAUAGCGAUAAAAUCCGAAAUAAAAUCUUAUUAGAUUUUAUUAUUAAAUCCUCAAUAUUUCUUUAUUUUGGGAAAGUCAUUUUAUUACCUCUCUCUUAUUUUUAUUAUUGAAAUAAUUGAAGAUAAAAUAAAUAAAAUCAAAUGAUCCUAUUUUCAAAAUUUGAGAAAACCCAAAUAUGAAAAUAACGAAAUCCCCAACUCUCUCUGUGGGUCUUUGAGUUGCGAAGAAUUUCUAGGAUCUAGCCAAGAUGCAAAUAAAAAAAUAUGAUAUGCAAUGAUGAUCUAUUGUAUAACAUUCCAAAUUGAAAAUUUGGGAUGUUACAGUUGGAGGCACUCGUUGUUUCGAGCAAGCCAUGGAUUGAUGCUUGUUGGUGGAGGGUGAGUAUAAACUUUACCAUUCUGUUUGGGAACUGCCUAUGAUGUGUGUAGCAUGGAAGAUAUCGCCAUCUCUUGGUUGUUAUGUUGACAAUGAAAGUAUGCCGCUCAAAAUAUUAUUUAUCUCUAUUUCAAGACCGAGCUCUGGCACCUCUACAAAUCCCUGCUUCCCUCUGCGAAGGGCCUAUCUAUUUACUUUUAAGUUGAGUCAUCACCCUCUUAUUAAAAAGCACCUGCUGGAGAGCACCGCUGUCAUUUGCAUCCAUUACUAUUAAUGUAUAUUGGGUAUGACUAUGAUUGGAUCUCUUUUACCAUGAAUUACAAUGUCUAGUCAGUCCUCGAUCUUUAAAGGUGCUCUGCAUUUAUGUUUUGUGGCCUCAGAAAGGGCUAGCGAGAUACCAUCUUGUUAUAUAAUAUUAUGAUUGUUUUGAGAAAGUGUUGUCAUCCGAGAUUUAUUAUUAUUGCUCGCUAGUUGAUUAUGCCAUUGAUAUGUGUAAACAUGAGACCUAAGUGUUAUUGUGAAUAUGGUUAGUUCAUAAUCUUUGCUGAAAACUUGAAUGCUGGCUUUACAUAUUUACAACAACAAGAGCAAACAGAGUUUGUAAAAGUUUUUCUUUAUUACUUUCAGUUUAUCAACUGAAUUUCUCGAGGACAAGCAAAGGUUUAAGCUUGGGGAAGUUGAUACGUCUCCGCCGUAUCUACUUUUCCAAACACUUUUGCCCUUGUUUUGGACUCUAACUUGCAUGAUUUGAAUGGAACUAACCCGGACUGACGCUGUUAUCAACGGAGAUUUAUUUUGGAAAAUAUAAAAAAUACUGGCGAAAGAAUCAAGGCCAGGGGGCACACACCCUCUCCACGAGGGUGGGCGGCACGCCAGCCUCCCCUGGGCGCGCCCCCUGCCUCGUGCCCCCCUGGAGCUCCACCGACCUCAACUCCAACUCCAUAUAUUCGUGUUCGGGGAGAAAAAAAUCACGUUUUACGAUAUGGAGCCGCCACCAAGCCCUAAACUCUCUCGGGAGGGCUGAUCUGGAGUCCGUUUGGGGCUCCGGAGAGGGGAAUCCGUCGCCAUCAUUAUCAUCAACCAUCCUCCAUCACCAAUUUCAUGAUGCUCACCGCCGUGCGUGAGUAAUUCCAUCAUAGGCUUGCUGGACGGUGAUGGGUUGGAUGAGAUUUAUCAUGUAAUCGAGUUAGUUUUGUUAGGGUUUGAUCCCUAGUAUCCACUAUGUUCUGAGAUUGAUGUUGCUAUGACUUUGCUAUGCUUAAUGCUUGUCACUAGGGCCCGAGUGCCAUGAUUUCAAAUCUGAACCUAUUAUGUUUUCAUGAAUAUAUGCGAGUUCUUGAUCCUAUCUUGCAAGUCUAUAGUCACCUACUAUGUGUUAUGAUCCGGCAACCCCGAAGUGACAAUAAUCGGGACCACUCCCGGUGAUGACCAUAGUUUGAGGAGUUCAUGUAUUCACUAUGUGUUAAUGCUUUGGUCCGGUACUCUAUUAAAAGGAGGCCUUAAUAUCCCUUAGUUUCCAUUAGGACCCCGCUACCAUGGGAGGGUAGGACAAAAGAUGUCAUGCAAGUUCUUUUCCAUAAGCACGUAUGACUAUAUUCGGAAUACAUGCCUACAUUACAUUGAUGAAUUGGAGCUAGUUCUGUGUCACCCUAUGUUAUGACUGUUACAUGAUGAACCACAUCCGGCAUAAUUCUCCAUCACCGAUCCAAUGCCUACGAGCUUUUCACAUAUUGUUUUCCGCUUAUUUACUUUUCCGUUGCUGCUGUCACAAUCACUACAAAACCCAAAAAUAUUACUUUUGCUACCGCUACCGUUACUUCCAUACUACUUUGCUACUAAAUACUUUGCUGCAGAUAUUAAGUUAUCCAGGUGUGGCUGAAUUGACAACUCAGUUGCUAAUACUUGAGAAUAUUCUUUGGCUCCCCUUGUGUCGAAUCAAUAAAUUUGGGUUGAAUACUCUACCCUCGAAAACUGUUGCGAUCCCCUAUACUUGUGUGUUAUCAGAAAUCAAUAUCAGAUGGAGUCCAAACGCAAUGAAACUCCACAGAGAUUUUUUUUGGACCACAAGGAAUAUAAUGGGCCCUGGCUGCGCCUGGGGGCGGUGCUCCGAGGAGAGCACAACCCACUAGGGUGCGCCAGGAGGCCCAGGCGCGCCCUGGUGGGUUGUGCCCACCUCGGGUGCCCCCCGAACCGCCUCUUUGCUCUAUAAAUACCCCAAUAUUCCCAAACCCUAGGGGAGUUGACGAAAUAUUGAUCCAGCCGCCGCAGAGUCCAGAACCACCAGAUCCAAUCUAGACACCAUCACAGAUGGGGUUCACCACCUCCAUUGGUGCCUCUCCGAUGAUGCGUGAGUAGUUCUUUAUAGACCUUCGGGUCCGUAGUUAGUAGCUAGAUGGCUUCCUCUCUCUCGCUGAAUUCUCAAUACAAUGGUCUCUUGGAGAUCCAUAUGAUGUAACUCUUUUGCGAUGUGUUUGUUGGGAUCAAUGAACUUUGAGUUUAUGAUCAGAUCUAUCUUUUUAUAUCCAUGAAAGUUAUUUGAGUUUCUUCGAUCUCUUAUAUGCAUGAUUGCUUAUAGCCUCGUAUUUCUUCUCCGAUAUUUGGGUUUUGGUUGGCCAACUUGAUCUAUUUAUCUUGCAAUGGGAAGAGGUGCUUUGUAGUGGGUUCGAUCUUACGGUGGUUGAUCCUAGUGACAAAAGGGGAACGACACGUAUGUAUCGUUGCUACUAAUGAUAAAAUGAUGGGGUCUAUCUCUACAUAGAUAGAUCUUUUCUACAUCAUGUCAUCAUUCUUAUUGCAUUACUCCGUUUUUCCAUGAACUUAAUACACUAGAUGCAUGCUGGAUAGCGGUCGAUGUGUGGAGUAAUAGUAGUAGAUGCAGGCAGGAGUCAGUCUACUAAUCUUGGACGUGAUGCCUAUGUAAUGAUCAUUGCCUGGAUAUCGUCAUGAUUAUUUGAAGUUCUAUCAAUUGCCCAACAGUAAUUUGUUUACCCACCGUUUGCUAUUUUUCUCGAGAGAAGCCACUAGUGAAACCUACGGCCCCUGGGUCUCUUUCUCAUAUAUUUACCUUUGCGAUCUACUUUUCCUUUGCAUUUAUUUUCAGAUCUAUUAAACCAAAAAUACAAAAAUACCUUGCUGUGUUUUAUUUCUAUUUAUUUUGUUUGGCGUUCGAUCUAUCAAUCUACUACAAAUUUAUCUCACGCCGUUUGCCUAUCUUGAGGCGCCGUACCCCGGAAGGGAUUGACAACCCCUUUAACACGUGGGGCUGCGAGUGGUUGUUAUUUGUGUGCAAGGGCUGUUUACGUUGUGUUGCUUGGUUCUCCUACUGGUUCGAUAACCUUGGUUUCAUAUCUAAGGGAAAUACCUACCGCCGUCGUGCUGCAUCAUCCCUUCCUCUUUGGGGAAAUACCGACGUAGCUUCAAGCGACAUCAAAAGGAAUUUCUAGCGCCGUUGCCGGGGAAGAUCUUCAAUAUAUACCAGGUUCCUAAUCACAAAUCUCAUCUCCUCGCAAUUUACAUUAUUUGCCAUUUGCCUCUAGUUUUCCUCUCCCCCACCUCACAAAAAUUUGCCGUUUUAUUCGCCCCUCCUUUUUCGUUUGCCAUUUUCUUGCCGGAUCUGUUCUUGUGUGCGUUCUUGUUUGCGUAGUCAUGAUGCCUCAAAGAAAAUAUUAUGAUGUUCCUUACCCAAAUAUUUUGCUUGAAAUUUAGAAAAGUUCUAAGGAAUAUAUGACUACACAAUUUGAGCAUAAUAAGUAUUUUAUUGAAUAACUUAAGGAGCACUUCGUUGUGCUAGAUGCUAUUACAAAACAACUUGAUGAUAUUAGUAGAGAAGUUUGCAAUCUCCAAUCUAAGUAUGCUUUUGCCGAAAUUUUGUUAGGAAAAAUAUCCGAUGCACAAGCUACCUUAGUAAAUCAAAUGGCCGCUAAACCAAUCUCGUUAGAGGAUAAAAGUGAUGAAGAUCUUAAAAUAAUUGGUGUUUCUUCUAUUGAUUCCUUGUUUAGUAAAGUUAAGAUUGAUGAAAAAGGGACUGGAGAAGAGUCAAUUUAGGUAGAAGGCGUCCCAAUACUUCGGAGGGUGAAAAUCUUGUUGAGAAAAUUGAUGAAAGUGGGUUUGAAGAGGUCAAAACUUUAGCUAGUGAUGUGCCCACUCUUUUGGAUUACAAAUACUUUAAUUAUGAUAGUUUAUUUUUAAUUGAUUGUAUUUCUUUGAUGCAAUCCAUGAUAAAUUCACCCCAUUCUUAUGAACAAAAUAAAGCUUUUACUAAACAUAUUGUUGAUGCUAUGAUGAAAGCUUUUGAAGAAAAAUUGGAAUUAGAAGUAUCAAUUCCUAGAAAAUUGCAUGAUGAGUGCGAACCUACUAUCAAAGUCAAGAUUAAAAACUAUGAGUGUUUUGCUUUGUGUGACUUGGGUGCUAGUGUUUCUACAAUUCUGAAAUCUUUAUGUGAUGUGCUUGGUCUUACCGAUCUUGAAGAGUGUUCUUUAAAUUUGCACUUGGCGGACUCUACUAUUAAAAAGCCUAUGGGAAGAAUUAAUGAUGUUCUUAUUCUUGCAAAUAGGAAUUAUGUGCCCAUAGAUUUUAUUGUUCUUGAUAUUGAUUGCAAUCCGUCUUGUCCAAUUAUUCUUGGUAGACCGUUUCUACGCACUAUUGGUGCCGUGAUUGAUAUGAAAGAAGGCAAUAUUAAGUUCCAAUUUCAUUUUAAGAAGGGUAUGGAACACUUACCUAGAACAAGAAUUAGGCCACCAUAUGAAUCAAUCAUGAGGGCAUCUUAUGGAUCUCGAAUAAAAGAUGACAAAACUUAGAUCCUUGCUUUAUGCCUAGCUAAGGGCGUAAAACUAUAGAGCUUGUUGGGAGGCAACCCAAUGAAUAAAAUUUAUUUUUGCUUUUUGAUUUAUGUUCCUGAGUGUUAGCACAAUUAUUCUACUGUUAUGAUUGUGUUUUUUGUGUUUUAAUUAGUGUUUGUGCCAAGUAGAAUCAAUAGGAUCUUCUUGGGUGAUAGUUGUUUGAUCUUGCUGAAAAAAGCAGAAACUUUUGCACUCACAAAAACAAUUCUUAUUUUUUAUCGGAGCGUGAUAAAAUGCCAAUUCUUUUUGUAGUAGAUUAAUAUACAACUUACCCAGGUCGUCCUAGUUUUUAAGAAUUUUUGGAGUUCCAGAAGUAUUCGAAGAAAUCAGAUUGCUACAGACUGUUCUGUUUUGACAGAUUCUGUUUUCUCUGCGUUGUGUGCUUAUUUUGAUGGCUCUAUGGUUUUCUUUGAUGAGUUUUUGCCAUAGAAAAUUUGGAAUACAGUAUAUUUAAUGCAAAAACAAAAUAUGAAUUGGUUUGAUACAAUACUUAUAGUGAUUUACUUUUUUUUACACUAACGGAUCUCAUGAAGGUUUUGUUGAGUUGUGUGUAAUUGAAGUUUUCAAGUUUUGGGUUAUCUUACAAUGGAUGAAGGAAUAAGGAGUAGAAGAGCCUAAGAUUGGGGAUGCCCUGGUAUCCCAAGCUAUUAUCCAAAAAUGAGCAACCAACUAAGCUUGGGGAUGCCCCCAAGUGGCAUCCCCUCUUUCUUCUAACGACCAUCGGCAUUUUACUCGAAGCUAUAUUUUUAUUCGUCAAAUGAUAUAUGUUUUGCUUGGAGCGUCUUGUAUGAUAUCCGUCUUUGCUUGUUUUAUUUUGUGUUUUAAGUCUUGAUCCCUUGCUGGACACACUUAUUUGGGAGAGCCAAAAUUAUGUCAUGACUUGUUAGAAUUGCUCUCUAUGCUUCACUUAAAAUUUUAUGAGCUAUGGACUUGCUCUAGUGCUUCACUUAUAUCUUUUUGAGCACGGUGUGCUUAGUAUUUUUGAAGAAAUGCUCUCUUGCUUCACUUAGAUUUAUUUGAGAGUUAGUAAAAUUUUCAAGAAAUUCUUUCUUGCUUCCAUUAAAUUAUUUUGAGAGAAAGAAAAAAAAUUAUGCUCAUGAUCUUCACUUAUAUUUGUUUGAGCUUAUGAAAAGAAACACAUGAAAAUUAGUCCCUAAGUGAUAGAUAUCCAAGAAGGAUGUAAUAAAAACUUUCAUGAAGAUCAUUGGACAAAAUAAACUUGAUUCUUAGUAAUAGUUUUGAGAUAUGUUGAUGUGAUAUGUGAGUUAUGUUGAUGAGUAAUUAUGCUUUAGUAAGAAUAUUGGUGUUAAGUUUUGUGAUUCCCUAUGCAAGCACGAAAGUCAAUAGUCAUGCAAUGAAAUUAUAUCCUACUUGUGGUGCAUUAUUCGGUGUUAAUUAUGCUUAAUUCUUGCUUAUGGGAUUAUCCGUUUCUUGGUUGGUCGCUUCUCAAUCUUUUGCUAGCCUUCAUUUUGCACUAAGUAUGAUCUCCACAUGUGCAUCCAAAAUCCUUUAAACCAGUUUUGCCUCAUGAGUCCACUAUAUCUACCUAUAUGCAGUAUUCUUUUGCCAUUCUAAGCAAAUUUGUAUGUGCCAUCUCUAAUUUUCAAAAUAAACUUCUCUUUUGUGUGUUCGUUCCGCUCGUGGAGUGGUGAGGGGUGGAUAAUAUUUUCCAUGCUAGAUGUGUUAUUCUCAUGAUGAGUGUUUAUUCAUUUGUCAUUACACAAGAGUAAGGCAAAGGUAUUAGGGAUGCCCAGUCCCGAAAUGAAAAAUGAAUUUACUUUAUGUUGUCAAAUAAUAAAUUCCUUGGAAAGUGUUGGUAUGGAGGGCAACCGUGGAUACGGCUAGCCAUGGAAAGUGAAAGUAUGGUUGAAGGAAUAAACUUUAUUUUCUGUUUGGGAACCGCCUAUGAUAUAUCUAGCAUGGAAAGUGUUGGGAACUCUAAGUUGUUUUCGUUGGUGGGAUGGAUACACCUCCCAAAAUGUUUUUAUCUCUAAGUUUUUCGCUUUGAGCUCUGGCACCUCUACAAAUCCCUACUUCCCUCCGCGAAUGGCCUUUCUUUUACUUUAUGCAAUUUUUAUUUUUGAAUUUGAGUCUCCAUCUUCUCUUAUAAAAACACCAACUAAGAGGCAUUAUGAUCGUACUUAAGUAUUGGGUGUAGCUAAUAUGCGAGUGUGUUUCAUGAAUGGAUCAAUGGUUGAGCAUGAUGGGCUAGGGAUAACUUAUUUUAGUGUUGAUAUUUUGAAAGAUAUGGUUGCUUGUUGAUAUGCUUGAGUAUUUAAAUUAUCAUGUCAAAACUAGACUAUUGCUUUGAAUCACAUAAAAGUCCAAAUAUCCAUGCUAUAAAGAAAAGAAUAAGAUAUGACAUGUUAGGCAGCAUUCCACAUCAAAAAUUCUGUUUUUAUCACUUACCUACUGAUACGUCUCCAACGUAUCUAUAAUUUUUUAUUGUUCCAUGCUAUUAUAUUAUCCAUCUAGGAUGUUUUAUAUGCAUUUAUAUGCUGUUUUAUAUGAUUUUUGGGACUAACCUAUUAACCUAGAGCCCAAUGCCAGUUUCUGUUUUUUUCCUUGUUUUUGAGUAUUGCAGAAAAGGAAUACCAAACGGAGUCCAAUUGACCUGAAAAUUCACGGAGAUUGUUUUUGGACCAGAAGAAGCCCACGGAGUACCCGAGAUGGACCAGAAGUGUCCCGAGGCCACCACGAUGGUGGGGGCGCGCCCUACCCCCUGGGCACGCCCCUACCUCGUGGCCGCCUCCACUACAAAAAAUACACUUCCAUGAUGAUACGUGUUUGUCACAGUAGGUCAUGUUUUCUGUCAUGCAUGUACAUCCAUGAAAAAUUUAUGACAGAAUCAAGAUAGUCAUGCCUGUGCUGUCGUAGAAGUGUUCCAUGACAUUACCAAAAUUAUCAUCACGGAAGUGUCCACUUCCAUGACGAUAAAUCGCGCGUCAUAGAAGUGCUUUCGUCAAGGGUGACCGACACGUGGGAUCCACCGUAACGGAACGCCAUUAAGCUAUCGGAUCCGGUUUUGGAUCCGAUAACCCGUUAACAGCCCCGACCAAUGGGGAUUUUCCACGUGUAAAAUCAUCAUUGGCUGGAGGAAACACGUGUCGGCUCACCGUUGGGACAGAUGUCAUCCCCUCAUUGGACCCGAAGCGCCUAUGAUGCGUCGACACGUGGCACGGCCCAACAGAGGCCCAUUCCUGUGAAAAGGCCGGCCCGUUUGACUUGGUCAAAAGGUGGCGGGCCGGCCCACGGCAAGCCUGUUAACGGCCUGUUCGCAUAUAACCCAUUUACAGCCCGCUAACCCAGGGCCCGUUUAUGGCCUAUCCGAAUUAGGCCCAGUAGCGACAUCUGGGCCGUCCAAUAUAAUUCUAGCCCGUUUUAACUUCCGACCCAUGUAUGGCCCAUGACGUCUUUCGGCCCAUAUGAGGCCCUUUGUAACUCUCGGCCCAUUAAUGGCCCGUGGUAAAACUGGCCCGUAAUGAACAGUGUAUGACUUUAUACCCAUUAGCGGCACGUGGUGAAACUGGCCCGUAAUGAAGAGUGUAUCACUUUAUACCCAUUAACGGCCCGUUAUUCCGUUGGGCCAUUUCUAGCCCAUGUUAUCUUUCGGCCUUCUCAGGGCCCAUUUUUUCUUGGGCUCAUUUCCAGCAUUCGUUUACUUACGGCCUGUUACUGUCAUUUUCUGCUUGUGGGCCAAAUCCAGCCCGUGGUUACAGUCGGCCCGUUUGUGGCCCAUUAGUACGUUGAGCCGUUUUCAUAGCAUCAUCAAAUACGGCCGAUUAACGAUGGCCCAUUAUGGUCAGCCCAUGAACGGACGAUUUCAACUCUAGCCCAUUUACGGCCAUAAUGUGGUCUGUUAUUGGCCCAUGUUUGGCCAACCGAUCAUACGGCCCGUAGAAGGCCCAUUGAUGAUACGGCCCGUAGAAGUCCCAUCGUUUCUACGGCCCAUAUAAGGCCCAUUGUUUCUACGCCCCGUAGAAGGCCCAUUGUUUCUACGGCCCGUAGGAGGCCCAUGCUAACUACAGUAAAUAUGUAGCCCAUGGUUAUUGUGGCCUAGUUUUAAAAAUAGGUUAUUGCGGCCACUAGCAAACCACGGAAAAAGAACUGCACUAACUAUAAGAAAACAAAUAAACAAGACAAUAAGGAAAUAAAUUAGCAAGCAACUUACGCUAGGCUAUCACGGCUAUUACACAUAUUACAUCCACUAGGCAUCACAGUUCGCCACCAGUGCAAAUAUAGGGAACAAAGCAGCAUAUAAACGCCGCAACAAAACAAGUCCAGAACUGAAACCACUUCAGAAGAGCUCAAGAAACAAUAUCCUGGGUACCCAUAAUGCUGGCAAGAUGCUUAGCAAGCUUAUUAACUUUCUCUUGUUUGGCGCUUAAAUCCUCCAGCACUUGCUGUUGCACUAGAAAGUAUGCAUCUGAAUUCUGCAGGGACUUCCUCAGUCCUUCGGCUUCCUAUCGCAUAACAUCUGAUCGAUGUCUUUCAACUUGAAGUUGAGACUCAAGAAGCCGAACUGAUUCAGGAAGCGAGUUCGAAGAGCUGGUGCCAGCAGUAGUAGCCAGUAACUCGAACACUACAUCAAGACAGGACUUUGGGGCUGUCUCAGUGUCUUCAAUAUAGUUUUUAUCAGCUUUCUUGGAGACCAACAGGGAUGUCUCACUACCUUGAACCUUAUCUGCAUUACUUCCUUUACCCUUGCAUAACGGGGUACUCUUCUCCAAUAUUUUAUUCUCUUUCUAAAAGAGAAACAAACAAACACAUCACAGGUUUACAAUGUAGUAUAUGAAACUCAUUUUGGUAAACCAGUUCAGUAGUAAGGUGGACAGGAUAACAGCAUGAAACAAACAUAUAUCUAUGUAGUAUGGUCACUCUAUGGUCUAUAUCAUUCUAGUUUAUGUUGCCAAAUCAAGAUAGAUACAGUUCGAAUCAUAUAUAUUUAAGACAAAGCAGCAUAGACAGAAUAUAAGUGUGGGAAACUACACAGCAAUAACAACACUUGUAAUGUGCAUGGCAUGAGAACAUAACUGUUUAUUCAAUUGAAACUGAAAUCAACAUAGAGCAAGUUACAACAACAAACACGUUAAAGAAACAGGUUUAAAACAUACCUGUUGCGCCAUUGGAGUUUCAAUUGCAUCCUUCAAAUUUGAAAUUAGUUGGUAUGAGUAAAUACAGUGAUGCAAGAGCAAAGUAGUAUGAACCAUAGCUACGGAACCUGACCUGAGAACAAUUCUUCUUCUGCUUUAAGCGUUGACUUGGGGUUCGAAGUGGUGGUCCUCGUGCUUUGGGCACUACAGUUGCCUUACUAACUGCUCGUGUUUGGGUGCUCUUUGGUGGAGACGGUGUUGUGUCAACGGGAACUGGGUUACUAUCUGCUGGGGUUGGGGUUAGAAGGGGUGUAGCUGGUUCUCUGUCCAACUGGGUAGGGGUACAAUCUGCGUGAGUCUGGGUUAUGUGUGGUGGGGCUGGUUCUUGGGCAAGUACAACCGUGGUUCUAUCUCCAUCAACAGGUAGCACGAUCUUUUCUGAAGACCGUGUUUUUACUCCCACAGAUACUGCCAUCACCCCCUCCAAUUGAAAUGGCUGAUAAACAAGAAAAGUAAUUGAAUGUACAGACAUUGUAAGAUAGACAGGUGCAAUGGAUAGUAGGGAAGAAAACAGGGCAUGAAAUAAUUCACAUUUAUGUUGUCUAACCAAACAGAAUAGCAGGACAUAAUUUCACAUAUAUGAUGGCUAAUUUAACAGGAUAGCAUGACACAAUUUCACAUGUAUGAUGGCUAACUAAACAGGAUAGAAUGACAUACUUCAAAAUAUGGUGACUAUGUAAACAGGAUGACAAGAUAUAACUAUACGAUGUGUCUAUUAAAGUGGUUGGCAUGCCAUAAAUCACAAACAUGCCGUCGAUGGAAACAUGAUGGCAUGAUAUAAUUCACAGAUAGAAUGACAUAAUUCAAAAUAUGAUGACUAUGUAAACAGGAUGAGAUGAUAUAACUAUAUUAUGUCUUUAGAAAAUGGGUUGGCAUGCCAUAAUUCAGAUACAUGCUGUCUAUGUAAACAUCAUGGCAUGAUAUAAUUCAAAUAUAUAAUUUAUAUACUAGGAAGUGAGCAGAGGGCAAUCGCAUAUAUGAUGUGUCAACUAAGGAGUUGGCAUUCAAUAUCGUGUAUAUGAUGUAAAAAACUAAGCAUUGCAAUACAACAUAUGCAUGAUGUGAGUAAUAUAACCCUGCCAAGUUUGAGCAUACACCUCAGGGGGUUAAUAGGACUGGUCAUCUGCCUCUGAAUCCUCCUCUGAAGAGCUAUCUGUAACCAGCAAGAUAUCUGCUUCAGCAGGUAGCAUUGUCUGAUCUAAAGACCUUGUUUUCACUCCAGAUUUCUCAAUCACCAAUUCAAAUGGCUGAUGCACAGGAAGAGCAGUUGAAUAUACAAACAUUGUCAACAAAAGCAAUGAGAAAUACAAAAAAAGGACGACAUGAUAUAAUUUACAUAUAUGACGCUUGGCUAAACAGCAUGGCAUUACAUAAUUCACAUAUAUAAUGCCUUGCAACAAGAUAGCAUUGCAUAAUUCACAUAUAUAAUGUCUUGCAACAAGAUGGCAUUGCAUAAUUCACAUAUAUGGUAAUUAGACACUAAACAGGUGGCAUUCACACAAAGCAUGUCUAAACUAAGGAAAUGACAUAGCAAUGCAAGAUACCAUAUGCACGAUAUGAGCAACAUAACCCUGCCAAGUUAGAGCAUGCACCUGGGGGGAAUAGGACUGGUCAUCUGUCUCUGAAUCCUCCUCUGAGGAGCUAUCUGUAACCAGCAAGACAUGCGCUUCGUCAGAUAGCAUUGUCUGCUCUGAAGACCUUGUUUCCACUCUAGUUUUUCCCAUGACCGUGCCGAAUGGCUGAUGCACAGGAAGAGUAAUUGAAUGUACUAAAAUUGUUGACAAAUUUAACACGUAAUAAAAAAUGAUGUCAUGAUAUAAUUCACAUAUAAGAUGACUGGCUAACCAGGGUGGCGUUGCAAAAUUCAAAUAUAUGAUGCCUGGCUAAACAAGAUGGCAUUGCAUGAUUCACAUAUACGAUAAAGAAACUAAACAAAUGGCAUUGACACAAAACAUGUCUAAACUAAGCCGAUGACAUCUUUGAUUUAUACAGUAAGCAAUGCAAGGCACCAUAUGCAUGAUAUUACCAACAUCAGCAUGCCAAGUUAGAGCGAAGACCUCAUGGGGUAAAUAGGAGUGGUCUUCUGCUUCUGAAUCCCCCUCAGAACAGUUAUCUUCCUCUUGAUUACGAUCCGAAAUGGGUGGAGGGGGCUGCCUUUGCGCCCACCAUGGAGCGACGUCUGCAUGAAAUUUUAUUGCCACGCAAGGCUCGUCUCUUUUGCUCUACAUGUUCAGUUCCAUUGUGUACAAUAACUGACAUGCAUAGGAAUAAAACAUAGUGAGAUUAUGUAAGGAGUGCAUGCAGAAAUCUAGAGUGAUGGUAGCAAACUAUGGAUAGACCCAAAACCAAUGAUAGCAGGCAGAUAAUAGCUUUAGUAAAAAAAUAGAUAAUGGCUCCUUUAAUGUUUGUUUGCACCCAACAUGAAACUCAUAGUAGACACCCGAGAUUAACCAGAUAGUAGACAGAUAGUACCGAUUGCUGCCCCAAUAUGUACCCCACAACCAUUUAAAAACUCAAGUUUCAGCAUGACCUGACCCGGAAUCUAAUAGGUGAACACGACGAUAAAGUAUCAUGUCAUCAUAUUAAGUGAUGCAUAUCGUAAGCAGACACGGAAGAGUGCGACCUGUCUUGCGGACCCAUGUAGUCCUCAAGGUCAUCUGCUCACUUGAUGAUGGUAAUGCAAUUGUCGUGGCUGCCGGCGGCGGGGAAGAAGAUCUGAGGCGGCGAAAGAAAGUCUGGAGAGCGGAUCCCUGCUGUGGUGAACCCUUCCGUCGUUGGAGCAGCUGAGCUGGGGUGGAACACAGCACCGCAGGAGCAGGACAAACCACACAAGGUUUUCUUUGACACAUAUCUGUAACAAAAGUAAUUGUGUAAGGGCUUGUUUGAAUUUGAGGAUUCUAACAAUCCAGGGAUAGGAAAUAGACAGGAAUAGGAUAGGAAUGCACGUGCAAAACAGAGAAUUUAAAACACAGGAUUUCUGCCAAUCUGGGUGUUUGGUUCACAAGAAUUGGAAGAUCAUAGGAUGCAAAGAAGCAUGGUGAGAUUAAGUCAAACCACAAGAAGUGUACAACCUCUUUGGCGAAGCCAUGUCGAUCUCAGCGUGAUUCGGUUGGCCGGUGAGGAUGCUCCAGCUGACUUGGCUGUCGGAGGAGGGGAAGAAGAUCUUAGGCGUCUGGAGAUGGAGCCCGAGGUACUGCUCCGCUGUGAUGGAGGGUUUCGUCGUUGGAGCAGCUCCGGUGAGUUGUACGACGCCGAGGCUGAAGCAGGACAAGAGAGACAACGUUAACCUGAGUGGAAUUCUAAUAGCAUCUCCAAUAGAUUACGUAAAAUACAUAACCACAAAGUGCUAGAUGUAAAAUACAUCAGCUGCUCAUCUUUGAACUUAACUGUCGAAACUGAAUUUAACCAUCGAAAUUGAACUUGACUAUCGAAACUGAAUUUUGAUGUCGAAACUGAAUUUUACUGUCGAAACUGAACGCACUAGAGGUGAGGCUACACGUUAGUCGACUGACUUUUUCAUCUCUGGUUAGUCGAUUUUGCAGCCGUUGGAAACGAAAUCAAGGUCCUGCAGUUCAUCUUCAACCUCCACCACCCUGAGCCGCCAGCCACCACCGGCCAAACAGCCGCCCGCGGCCGGCGGUGCGCCGCCCCGCCCGCCUCGAAAACACUCCCAACCACCGGUCCGCCACCGCCCCGGCCAUCCCUCUAGCCCCCCGUGCCGAGCUUUUUCUCUGGCGAUCCUCACGCCACCGCCCCACCACCGCCGGUGACCACCGCCCCCACCCUAAACCCUAAGAUAGAUAGUGGGGUACCUCUCCGGCGAGCCCCCCUCCCCGUGGCGGUUGGUUCUUCCUUAACUCCGGCGAGCCCCCCACCCCCUGAAAAUUGACUGACCCAAAAGUCGAUUCAGUCAACUGAAGUGUAGCUAAAUUGGAGCAGCAUCGCAAGCAAGAGCAAGAGCGAGAGCAGCAGCGCGAGCAAGAGCAAGAGUAAGAGUAGACAAGGCAGGGGACCGAGAGCAAGAGCAGAGCAGCAGCGCAAGCGAGAGCUAAAGCAGCAGCAGC